AAGGAACAAACACAAAAGAACAAACAUGGAUACUUUCCUGAAUGUAUAUAGAUUAAAAGAUGCAGAGAAAGUUGACUAAGAAGAAAUGUACCUUGGCAAAAAUGGAAGGAGUGAGUGAAAAAGAUGCAGGGGUAGAUGGGAUAGAGAAAGUGGAAGAAUGAGACAAUUUGAGGCCAAAAAAAUGAGAAUUGGAAGGUGUGGAAAGGAGUUGAGAAGAAGGGUAUCUGGGAGUUUGAGUGUUAAGUAUUAGUGAGGUAGGAAGAGAGUGGUUUGAGAAAGUGAAGGAAGCCAUGAGUGUGGGUGAGAAUGAAGGUUGGAAGAAGAUAGUGCAUGAACUUGAUGGGGUGAUGGAUGAUAGAUAAAGAAUGUGGUUUGGCUGGUUGGGAUUCCCCUUUGGCGUGGACCAUUCCUCACCCCAUCUUUUUUUGUAAUAGCAAGGGUGUCCUAUUAUCCUAUGGGUAAUUAGUCCCUUUUGGAAUGUGUAGCUACUUCUUCCAAUAAGUGUCGCUCUCGAGAAUCAAGUCCUUAAUCUUUUAAUCAUCCUAAGGAUUUAGCGGGAUCUUACAAGACCAACGCCUUGUUGGUUUCCUCACCCCUUCUUUUUUUAUUCAACUUUUCUUUUGAGUUCAAUUUACAGCAAAAUUUAAUUUCAGAAUAAGUUGCAUGCAUAAAUACAAUAUUCUAAAUUCUGAAUAGAUUUUCAAGUGUAGUUUCAUUGGAUUGUAUUUUCUUGCUCACAUUAGUCACAUAUGAAGGAGAAUUAUUCAGUAAUUAUAACGUAUAAGUACUAUUUUGGUAGUUAGAGUUCAGUUUCAUAAAAGUUUUAGCUUAUGAAAAAAUAUCAAGUGAUUAUGCUUGGUCAGGAUAUUGAGAUGAGUUUGAAGAUUCUCUAUUCAUUGUGGAAAUUAGCAUCUGAUUUUCACUUCUUGGUUUUCUACCAAUGCUCAACAUGUUUUAUAUUAUCCAUGUAUAUUAUGAUUAUUACCAAAAGAAUCACAUUAGAAGGUAAAGCUUUAUGACAGUAUACUCGAGUAAUUAUUUACCAAAUAUACCAGGCUCUCCUUUAAUGUUUAACAGGGUGGAUGGAGUUGUAACCAUUCCUCAUAAUAAAGCUUGCCUCUUCUCCAAAGAACUCAAACUGCUAUGAGAAUGAAAGGAAGCAUUUGGCCCUUAUAGAAGUGAAAGCCAUGAGGGAAGAUUGAAGACCUUAGAGCAUUGUAAUAAUCAUUGCAUUGAUAAUAGUAAUAUGAUAAGAAAAUAAAUGUCCCAAGAAAGAGUUAUAUUUUUGCAGUCAGUUUGGUGUUCCCUAAAAUUAAGAGUGGAAAAUUUAGGGUCAAGUUUUAAAUUGUGGGAUAAAUGUUGUUAUGCUAGGCAUAGUCAUCAUUGAAAGAGUUAGUUAGUUAUAAUAAUAAUGACAACUACUUCAACAUUAUGGUAAUGUUUCUCAGAUAUAUCAAAGAGAUUGCAAAACCUUGGUGUUUCAAGUAGCACAUUCAAACCAUAAAAUAAUAUAGACACAGAAAAGAACAAGAAAUAAUAAAACUUGGAUGAUCACUUGCUCAAUUGAUGCUGAGCUUACAAUACAAAAAAUAUACUAAUAAUCUAACUUUAUGUGUGAUAAUUGAAACAAGAUUUCUAUCAGGAGAGAUCAUAACAAUUUGCUCUUUAUAGAAAAUGGGUCCAUAAUCAGCUACACUAUCAAAAUUACAGUGAUCACAAUUCAUAGUUACAUACUUGUCUCACUCAAGCCGAUGAGGAUGGAAUAGAACACAAGAAUAAAAGGCCUCAAAGGCUUUGAAGUAACUUCAACGUCUCGUCGAUAUGCUUUUCUGGUUGGAACUGAUUGUUGUAUACAAGCUGAACCACCCCAUUUUUGUCAAGAACAUAAGUCUCUCUUCCGGGCAAUGCUCCAAAUAAAUCACUCGGCACUCCCCAUUCUUUCCUCACCUUGUUUCCCUCAUCACUCAACAAUGUAAAUGGAAGUCUGUGCUUUUUGGCAAAUGCCUACAUUCCAUGCAACACUUUCAGUAUAAAGAUAAUAUGUUAGGGACCCCAUCACUACUACUAUAUUUUCUCAUACUAGUAUAUUUUAUAUAGUAGUAGUCAUGUACCCCUAUCCUGGUAUUUCAUUUCAAUCAAAUUGUAGUGAAACAUUUGAUUUUUACCUUGUGAGAUGAAGAAUCAUCACCACUGACACCUAUAACCUCUGCUCCUGCUUUCUUGAACUUCUCAUACGAGUCCCGGAAAGCGCAAGCCUGCGUUGUAACAAAAUAAUUUAAAAGUUCAAAUUUUGACACUGCUAGCCUCUAACUAUAUUAAGAAUCAAUGAUCAUGAGUUAUUGUAUCGCUUUUAAUUAUAAUUGGAGAUAUAUCAUAUGAUUCUUUGCAACAUUUAUAAACAAUGUUGGGACAACAUAUGAUUUAUGUGAGUAUUGAUAAGUAUGAUUUAAAGUAAAAAUGUUGUGUGUCACAAAUCUUGUCUAAAAAUGUUGUACAAAUAACAGAACUUGUGAUCCUUCAUGUUCCAUAAACAAAACCCUCUUUCAUUUUCAUAAGAACAACAACACCUUUGAAUGUAAGAUUGAAUGUGUUUUUACCUGUUUGGUACAGCUAGGAGAAUCAUCAGCAGGGUAGAAAUAAACAACAACAGGUUUUCCUUUGAAGUUGGUAAGGCUGACAGUUUUUCCAUCUUGAUCUUUCAAUGUGAAUGGUGGUGGCUUUGAACCUUUACUCACCUGUCAUGGAACAAACACAAACACAAACAAAAACAAACAAACAUGGAUGCCUUCUUAAAUGUAUAAAGAUGAAAAGAUGCAGACAUAGUUGAUUAAGAAAAAAUGUACCUUAGCAAAAAUGGAAGGUUUUUGUGAAAAAGAAACAGGAGUAGAUGGGAUAGAGAAAGUGGAAGAAUUAGAUAAUUUGAGACCAAAAAAAUGAGAAUUGGAAGGUGUGGAUAGGAUUUGAGAAGAAGGGUAGUUGAGAGUUUGAGUGUUAAGCAUUCGGGAAGUGGGAAGAGAGUGGUUUGAGAAAGUGAAGGAAGCCAUGAGUGAGAAUGGAAGAGAGGGAGAAAGUUAGUGAAUGAAUUGGAUGGAGUGGUAGAUAAGGAAGCAAAGUGGUUUAGUUGGUUGGAUGGGAUUGCCCUCUUACGUGGACCAAUCAUGGAUGUAUAUAUACCCUUUGGAAUUUGUUUGACUAAUUUCAUUUUUUUAUUCAACAUGUAUUUAUUAUCCACGUAUAUUAUGAUUACCAAAAAAAAAAUCAUUUUUGACAGCAGUUUCAGAAGGCAUAGCUUUAUCACAGUAUACCUGAAUCUUGAUUCUAGAGCUAUUGGCUAUUACUUAACAAAUAUAGCAGACUCUCCUUUAGUGUUACGAAGUGUGGAGGCAGUACUACAAUGAUCUCAAAUUGCCAUCAAAAUAAAAGGAUGCACCAUCCAGUAGGUAACAGAGUCCAGAAUACAAGCAAGUAAAACAUCGAUUCUACUACUUAUACUACCAAGAGUGGUAAUUUGUAAUAUUUCAUGAUUAUUUUGGUUGAGUUUUCAUGCCGGAAUCAAUUCCAAAGAUGCACGCCAAGCUACCAUAAACUCAGUUUUAGAUUGUGACUCCAAAUCUGAUAGUAACUAUGCAUUCAUACAGGAAAGGUAACUAUUACUUGUCUCAAUUUAAGAUAGUGGUUUUUGGUUUUCUUCUUUUAUAUAUUCCGGAUUGAUAAACAAAAUCAUAUAGUACAAUAAUUUAUUAACAAGCAAUUGUAGCCAGCCUGAAUUUUGACGUGAUCGCUCCGGUUUCCAUAAGGAGGAGCUCGACAACCAUGAAAAUUUCAACACAGUACAGAACUAAUCCUAAGAUAAAAAAAUGCCCAUUUAUCUAACGGGGCAUGAAGCUACGAAAUUGAAAGCCACUUUCUUUGCACCCAAUCAUUUUAGUGUGGUUUGGGCACAUAACCAUCAACAGCGAAGUUCCGAGUGGCAGCAGGAAGAGCUAAACGGAUUCCAUCAAGUUCAGGCUUGGCGAUCACUUGGCAACCCAAACGUGAUCUGCACAAUUGCCAAAAUCAGCAUGCAAAGAAAUUGAGGGGAUGAAAACGAAAAAUAAAAUUUUGCAGUCGCAGUUCAUGUUAAAGAAACCCACGUUUCACUAAGCCCGAAAGCUAGAUCCAACAUGUCAUUUUCUUCAUCAGUUGGAUCUUCCAAUUUAUUGUAGUAUUCUACAUCCUGCACAAGGUUAAGUAAUUUGACUGUCAUUUAAACGGAAAACAACACUAACAGAAAAAUAAUCAAACUAACUUAAAGUGGCACUUUCCAUGACAUACCAUCACAAUAACGUGGCAAGUUGAACAGGCAAGUGAUGCCUCACAUGCUCCUGCGAUAACAUAAAUAAAUUAACUUUGGUAACAGCAACAAUAAGCUGAAUCAAGAAUAGAUAUGCUUGCCUCUUCAGCAACUGGUCCCAGAUUUGAUAAAGUUGAAAAGUAAUGACAAGUGCUAAUUCUGAAUCAAAAUAAUUUGAUUGAGAUUAACUCUUUAAAGUUACUCCCCGAAUAACUUGAUCCCUUCCCAUAAAAAGAUCAACAACAAUAACAGCCUUAUACCAUUUCAAUAAACAAUAAACACCAUUAUGAUCCACCAAACUUUAAAAAUAAAAAUGAAGAGUGGAAUGCUAAUGUCAAAGCUCUUGCCUUCAAGCUCGAUGUUGUUUUCCUGAGCAGCUUCUAACAUAGACAUUCCAACAGGGACUUCAAUAUGAGUUUCCUCAUCAUCCUUGCCCACGAAAGUUACAGAUAUCCUGCAUAAAUUUGUAUCAACAUAUAAGGAGCAGAGUGACAAAUGAGUAUUUUUCUUUUGAACUUCAAUUGAAGUGCUCUGGUGCACUUCACCAAGGAUGUUGCUCCAUUCUACCAUUCAAUUAGUCAACUAAUCAGCCACACAAACGUGAUGCAAUUUGCAGUAAUUGCACCAUCUGUCUUAAGGCAAGUUUUUAGAUGUCUUCCAUCUGACAUGAGAAUGAACCGGAAGAGUUCAAGGAACUAUAAUCCAGUGAAACAAUUGAGGCUCGGAGAUGGUUAUUUUGCCAUUUAGAUUACAGUGUCAUACUCUAGACUUAGCCUGACUCCUGCUUAGACAUCACACCAACAUGGUUGAUAGCAUGAAAUCUAGAAUGCUAGGAUGCAUACAUUAUACAUGCAACUGUAAAUCCAAACUUAAAGUUUAAACCUCAAUGUUCAUGUGAAAAUGUGAUAUUACCAUUCCUGGCAUUUUCAAGUUGUGAAAUGCCUUCGAAAAUUAACCAUUGGAAGGAAGAAAAGGAGUGCAAAUUUCAAGUCCAUAUCCAUCAUCUCAGCUUUUAUUUUCUAACUAUUUAUUAACCAAAAUUACAGACAUUACCUCCAGUCAUGAUAUUGAUGAUACAUUCAAUCAUUAUGCCAUUCUCCCAUUAAUCAACACAAUCAUCAUGAAACUUGGAAGUGUAACAAUGCAGUAUGUUAGCUCCUUUAUGCAACAGUAUAAUCUGGAAAUUGCAGAAUUUUAAGAAAUAUUUAAUUCCCCAGCCUUCAGUUAACAAACAAAUGCAACUACAUAAUGUUUGUCCUUCUAAAGUCUUUGGCUUUUUGGGGUCAAAGUCUUGAGUUUGCUCUGUGAUAAAAGCUCAUCCCGCUGGAGAGUCCUUGCACAAUAUCAAAAAUCACGCAAAGACAAGAUAACAGAAGUUUAAAUUUGUCUGCAAAAUGAACCCAUUCAUUUUUGGUGAAUAAAGUUCACCAGUGUUUCAUGUCAAAAUAUGGCAUUAACUCUGAAGAGAUUGCCAAGUUUUUCAAAGAGGUCUUAUGCUAUGCAAUGACUUCUCACAUAAGUUCCGGUAAUCUUAACAAAGCAAUAGGGAAAUGGUCUAGUUAUGAAUAUUGCUUUCUGCGCCCGAAGUUAUGACACAAUAUUACCAUGUUUUGAAUGCUACAUAUUUACAACACAAUAACAUACUGCCACAAACUGUCAUCUCAAAAGAAAAAAAAACUUACGUUUCUUCUUUAUCACUCCCUUCCUCGGAUGUGUUGUUAGUAGUCAUCAUUGAAAAGAAAAUAUGCUUCUUAAUCAUGGCUCCAUUGUAUAACAUAUUAAACAAAAGCUGUUGAUGUUCAGGGAAAAAAUAUCACACAUUUGAAAUCAGAAACAUUAAUUUCCACAUCUAACAUUUUCAAUAUUUACAGAAUCAACAAAAGUUUUCCAACACAGCUUCCAAUUUGACAAUUUUUUUAAAUGUAAGCAUUAUAAAACUCUGAGUCCUGUAAUCUUUCCUCUAAAAAAAGUUCAAAGGAAACAAAAUUUCUAUUUGAUAAGACCAACAUGUGAAGCUACACCAACACAAUAGGUAAUACUGUAAGUAUCAACUUAAUUUUAAACAACGAUUAAGAACACAAUUAACCGUUACAUCUUAUCAAACUUCACAUGUACCAAACAAAAAAAAGGUUAAACUUCACCGACUAGGAAAAAAACAUAAGGACAAUUCAAAUUCUUAACAUAUUCAACUAAUGCUUAUUAAAUUUAAAUAAUAACAAAACAAUACUAACCGGAGGUUGCAUGUGGCGGUUGGUAGCGGUUAGAAUAUAUGGUGAUCUAGACAUGGAAGCAUAGUUCCCUGUAAAAGUGAAAGAAAUAAAAAUAAUGAUUAGAAUUAUAAAUUCCAAUGCAAUAAGAUAAAAAAACGGAGCAAGAUAAAAUUAGUAAAAGAAAUAUAGAUGUGUACUUGUGGAAAGGUGUUUAGCGACGCAAGCUCCAAAUCUUGCUACUCUAGAAUUUAGCAUGGUGAGGUUUAGAUAAACCCUAAAAUAAAUAUAUAUAUAUAUAUAUAUAUAUAUAUAUAUAUAUAUAUAUAUAUAUAUAUAUAUAUAUAUAUAUAUAUAUAUAUAUAUAUAUAUAUAUAUAUAUAUAUNNNNNNNNNNNNNNNNNNNNNNNNNNNNNNNNNNNNNNNNNNNNNNNNNNNNNNNNNNNNNNNNNNNNNNNNNNNNNNNNNNNNNNNNNNNNNNNNNNNNUAUAUAUAUAUAUAUUGGGAAUUGAAUUGAAAUUUGAUAAUAUGAAAAAAUUGGGAAGUUGAAGGAAUGAGCUGAGUCAGUAGAGAAGAGAAGAAGAGAGACUCUGCUCCGAGUAAAAAGGGAGAAGAAGAAGGGCAAGACUUCAGGCUUCAAAAGCCCAGUCACUGGCCCAUGAAAAGUAACACUCGUUUCAAAGUGGCCCAAUAAUAUGGAUAGAGGUAGCAAAGCAUAUCUCGUGGCCCAAUCAUACUAUGCUUUUAUCUUUUUUGUAAAGUCAAAAUAUCUUAUUUUUAACUUUAUACGGUCUUAUAUUUUAUUUGUAAAAUACAUAUUAGGGUGUAAGUAGGCCUAUUAAUUAAUCUAUAACAUGUUAGAUUAGAUUUCCGAUUUCUCACAUGCAUAUGAUAAGACGGAAUGAUCUGGUAACCAAACUGAGUGAGAAAAACAACACAUUAUUAGGAUGAAUAAAUUCAUCACCACUAUAAGCCAUCAUUAAGGAUGAAGUUGCUUGCUUUAAAUAUAAAGCAUAGAACAACCACCUAAUUUUUGACCAAGGUGAACAAUGCGAAUAACAACAAGAUGGAUCCCCACAUUUGUGAGUAGGUCAAACUCAAGUUUUUAAAAAAGCUUAUUUAACUUUACAAUAUUUUUAUAUUAUAUAAUAAUGUUUAUAUUAUGUUGUUUUAAUAUAGGUAAUAUUAUUAGAUAUGUAAUUUUGUUGUAAUGGUUAGAGUUAGUUAUAUAUAAUUAAACGAGACAUAUUAUUAUAUAUUUCAAGACUAUAUAGUAUAGCGAUUAAACUAAAUUUUUAAAUCGGUCAGACUUAAAUAUUGAUUUUUUUAAAAUGGAUCAACAGACUAAACUCAACUCAUAUAUACUAUAUAAAUUCAUAGUGUUUAAGGCAAUGUCUGACCUAACAUAUUUUCACCCUUAAAUACAUGUAUCAACCAUCCAAUAUCACAUAUAUACGUGAACGUUACCUUACAACUCAACCAAUCUGGGCAACUUUUAUCAUGUCUUUCAUUCCCAUUCCUCACUUAUCUUAGUCAUAUUUUCAUAUGGCACCGUCCUAUUAUUAAUUAUCAAAGCAACGGUACUGUUGCGUAAUGGAAAUGAAGAUAAGAGGUGAGCCACAAAUAUCAUCAUUACUUGCAUAACUAUCUUUUUAUUUUUAUGCAGUUUCUUACUUUAUUACAGAGACGUGACUUGGCAACCCAUUGUCAUUUGCAUAUAAAUGAAUUAAUUAAUAGUUAAUGAUUUCGUAGGUAGCUAAGUCUUAAAAGAAAAGGUUGAAGGAUACAUCGUACAUGGUUGGGUGAGGCUAUCCUACUCGAAAUAUGCAAAAGGGAAUGUUAGAAACCAAUUGGGCUAAGCAAACAAAAAAUUGGGCAAAUUAUAAAGUAAAAGGAUCCAAAGUACCAAAACAGCCCAUUUUUUAUUUGCCACCUUUCUUUCCUUUUUCGCUACCUAUGAGUUUAUGACUUUCGGCCGUUUCAAUUUUUCAAUAAAUAUUAAUUUAAGUCAAACUUAUUAAACAUACUUUAUUUUCUUAAUUACGGUGUAUAAAUAUUUUGGAAUUUUUUUAUAGAUAAAAAAUUAACUCAUUUCAAGAUUCGUUGCUGCCUCUACCAAUAAAUGUCGCUCUUAGAAAUUAAACUUUCAACCUUUUGAUAAUCCAAACCAUACAACACUAAACUAAGGCAUGGUAGUUUUGAUACAUCCCAAACGAUUUGGUGGGUUUGCACCGUGCAAUAGAAAAAGUUGACGUAUAUAGAAUUUUUCAAAUAAUUAUAAACAAAGAUACAUAUUAAUUAUUUAGACGCAUUAAUUAUUUAAAUGCUGGUUUUUUCCUAUUAAUCAGUUUAUAUAUUAAAAGAUAUUUACAGAUAAGAGUACUUCUUUACAUUAUAAAAGUAAAAUAUAAUCUUACUUGGAUUUAAGCUCUCAUUUACUAUCUACAAAAUAUAAAAUAUUGAUCUAGUAGUAUAAACUAUAAAGCUCUAUUAGAUCUUAAGAUGAAUAAAUUUGGAAGCGACAAUUGUUAGGAAUUAUGUACCUGUAAAGGGAUUAACUCCUUACUCAUAAAGAGAUAAUACUCUUAAUAAUACAAAAAAACUCAUCUCAUAAAAAUAAUUGUAUAUAAAAAGGUAGAUAAUAUGUUAAUCAUGUAAAAAAAUUAUACCAUAACCAUUUUUCAAUUUUUUUUCUUAUCUUACAAUGUAGUAAUAUUUGAAGUUAUUACAAAAAUACAUAAAAGUAACUUGGAUUUUAAAAGUUGUCUAUAAUAGCAAAAUAUUGUAUAGAAAAUGGUUGGUUUGGGGAGAACAAGAAAUUGGUUGUAUAAAAACGGUUGGGAUGGAUGUUUGGUGGAUGAAAACUGAAAAAACAGCAUUCAGCUAGCGAGAAAGAGAAACUAAGAACAAGUACAACACUGCAUUUUCCUCUAAGCACAAUAAGUUUUGUCCUUACUUCUCAACUACACCAUCAUUUUCAUGCAUUUCCUUCCUCCUUUUCGCAGCUAACACCCUCUUCUUUCUAUAUCAGGUAUCAAUAUCUUCAUCUUCACAUUAGCUAUAGGAUCUAUAUGUAUCAUAUAUGCUUAAUAACAAGUUUAUAUAAUUGCGACAACAAUUUAAAACACUGAAAUAACUUGACGAGACUGGUAGCCUAAGAAUUUGAGGACUGAGGGUGGUGGAUAAGAGAAUGAAAGGGACAAAAACAUAUAAAUCAUCAAUUAUAUGUGAUUGAUCCUAAUUACUCAGUCUGUAAUUUAGUUCUCUGUUUAAUCAUUAUUGUUAGCUUUAUAAAACUUGUAUGCAGCAUGCUAAUAAAGGAUAGUGUGGCCUCCAUCAUUUAUUAGUUUUCUAAGAACAAAACAUGAAAACUAUUUUAUGUAUAUAUCUCUGCAUUUAGUAAUGAGACCUUUUAUUCUACAGAUAAAUUUGCUGAAUUUGUUCUUACUAUUGUGUUGAAAGUUUGCCAAUGGAAGAGGUUGGAGUCUCCAAAUUGAAAUCACUUGGCCAAAUUGCAAAGAUAAAAGAAAUGUUUCAGAAGUGGCAAACAACUCCCCUAGGCUCAAAAGAAUCCAAUGACCACUCUCAUGUGAAACAUGGGGGAAUUUCACCAAUGAUUAACAAAAGGCUAACAAAUCUUGUGUAUUGUGACUCUGAUGAGGAAGGCUGCUACAGCCCCGAACCGCCGCAUGAUGUUCCGAAAGGAUAUUUGGCAGUCUAUGUUGGACCGGAGCAUCGAAGGUUCAUCGUUCCUACGAGCUACCUUAGCCAUUCUUUGUUCAAAGUGUUGCUGGAAAAGGCUGCAGAGGAGUUUGGGUUUGACCAGAGUGGUGGACUCACAAUACCAUGUGAGAUUGAAACAUUUAAGUACCUUCUGAAUUGCAUGGAGAACAAUCAGAAAGAUGAUCAUGAUGAAAUUUGUAAGUUAAUUACAAUAUUUAUCUUCCAUUUCAUAUAGGUUCAGUGGAAUCCUUGCAAUAUAUUUCAAAUACACUUACUAACAUAGCUAAUGAUCAUUUUCACAAAUAAUAUAGCAUAAGCCAUGAUAGCUUAAGAAGUUCACAAAUUAUUUGUUCAUUUUUGUUCUUUUACAAAGCUAUAUGUGGUCCUAAGAGAUGAAAGAAGAAGAUUUCACUGGAUAAGAGAGAUUGAAUCAUUGAGAUUGGUAGUGAUGUCCAAUAGUCUAAGCUCAAUUUCACAAUCAAGGCCUUCUAAUUCAACUAAAUAUCAAUUUCAUCCUAAGCAAUUAUAACAUUUUAGGUUCAUUUAGCUUUUGAAAUGAUCCAAAUUGUUUUUUCCAUAUUAUGAUACUGCUCACAUGUCAUCAUUGACUUGCAUUUCCCCCAUGGAAUAUAUAUAUAUAUAUAUAUAUAUAUAUAGGAAUGGAAGUGUCUGGGAGCAAUUUUAAAAUAAAAAUUGUGAGAAUAAUAAAUUUGGGUUUUAUGGACUAUACAUGGAUGGAUAGGAGUAAAAAUAGUUAUUUGUCACACAUGAUCACUUCUUUUAAUCUUGAUCAUUCAAAAGUUCCAAUGAUACAUAUUAAUUGUUCUCAUUUAUCACAAUAACAAUUAUUGUCUCAAUUAUUAGUUCUUUUCCUGUUUCACUAACCUUUAAACUCUUGGUGGAUUUGUAGGUGGAAACACAGGAACCAUAGAAGAGUAAGUAAUUACUGUGGUCUUUAGAGAGGUGCAGAACAUAGUGCUGGUCAAGUGUAAAAGGAGGGGAAGGGCCCUACUUCCAUUUUUUGUUUUGAUUUCUUAUGUGAAGAAUUAUACAGUACCCUAGUUAGAAAGAUUUAUGAUUUGUUGGUUAUUUGCAACUAUUGAUUGGUAGAGCGGUUGAUAAACUAUGCACUAUCUGCUUUGGAUUGAUAUAGAACUAUAUCAAAUGUUCCCCUAAUUCAUGUACUUUUGCUAACUAAAAUUUGUUAGCUUAUUCAAAUGUAACUUUUUAUUAUUAUAAAUCAUGAUGAGUAUUGUGGUUCUCAAGCAUAUCAAAAGUGUUAUUGUUUUUAGUUUUACAUUUAAUAAAGAAAAUGUUAUCACAUUAUAUUUAAAGAGUAAAAAUGUCACAUUAUAUAUAUUUUUUUUAUCAUUUAUGUACUUUCAUCUGCCGGAAGGAUCCUAACCCAUUAUUUUUAUGAUUAGGGCUUAAUUCACCUUAUGUGGUUUCCUUGUGAGGUGCUGGACUCUUCAAAGCUAUUUUACAUAAUUUUUUUACAUCAUACUUGAUUUUGAAAAAAUAGGUAACAUGUGUUUAGGAAUUUAUGUAUUACUUGAUUGAUUGUACAAUAAAUAAAUAAAUAAAUAAAUAAAUAAAGGAAUAAAAGAAUGAUGCAGAUUUUAUCCCACAUAUUACUCUUCCCUUAUUAUCCCCUCUAUCCAGAAUAGGAAAACUGAAGACUUGUUUAAGCAUAUUUAUACAUGAAAAGUUGCUUCUCUUCUUCUCCUUUUAAAACUAAUGGUCAUGUGCACUUGUGGAAUAUAAUCUUUAAUAAAAUCCCGUUUUGAGCUGUCAUAGUUCCAUUCAGACUAUAUGCUUUAUUAUUAUAGUACAAAAUGGCUAAAGAAUCAUUCAUGUCCAGAAAAUAAAGCAUCAUCAUUCUCUGUAUCUCAUGUGUGCACAUGCAGAAAAGGUAAUGCUUAAGAAGAUCUCAUAUUUAUUCUUCUUGUAUUCAUUAUUUAUUGAUGAUUAUUUGUUUAUGGACCAGCUGUAUAUUUUUUCUUUAGUCAACCUUUAUGAUUUAAUUUGUGCAUUCUCUACUAAGAAACUGAACAAUUUGCAUAACAAUGCUAUCUUUUUCAAUCAAAGUUUUGACUUUUAUGAAGAGAGUCCAAUAUAAAUUAAUAGUUUAAUACCAAUCGUCUAAAUUCUAAAACUUGUAAGGUUUCCACACUGUCCAUCAACACUAGGUGCUGGCUUAGUCCUUGCAGAUCCAAUCAAUUUAGGUUUGAUAAAAGGUUGCAACAAUUAUGUGGGUAGGCUAGCAUUAUUUUUAUAAAUUGUUUAGUAACUCAUAAGAGCUUAGCUUAGUAACACAAUUGAUUAUCAAAAUGGUUUUGGACAUAAAUAUAUUGGAAGAGAAUGUGGUGUAGGAUCAAAAUUUGCAAAAAUAUCAUUAUUUUUCUUAUGUUAAAAGUAUAACUAUACUAUUUAAUCAUAUCAAACCAAUUAAUAUAUACUAAUAACGUGUUGGUAUACUAGUAUAAGGUCCGGCUAGAUCCCAGAAAAACCCAAAAGGUCAAGAAUUUAAUUCCUACAAGUGACACUUGUUGGAAGAGACAUUCACACAUACUAAAAAAGAUUUAUCCAGAAGGUAAAGAAAUAUCGUUGUUAAUACAAAAAAGAAAGAAUAAGAAGAAAUGAUAUAAUCUACAAGCAUUUCUCUUUAUGAAGAGGAGAUGAUGUAUUUAUACAUGGGCUUUGUCAAUAUUAAGCUACUUUCAGUGAUGGUCCAGUAACAAGUUAAUACCCACUUAUCUUUAGCAUUAUACCCCUCCUAACAGGAACCACUGACUAUUUUUUAGUGCUGGACUUUUCAAUGCUAUUUUUUACAUCAUGCUUGAUUUUUAUGGCUCGGUUCAUGACCAUACCGGGCCAUAAAAAACCAGAAUGAAAUGGGUAGAAAUUUGGUUGUAGCUUCAUGUCGGACAUAUUUUUAUACGUGACCUCACUAGUUUUCUGUGACCCAUUCAGGUUGAUCCAGAGCUCCAACGGGUUAAGGACCCUAUCUACCUAGGAAAAACUGGCACGAGUCUAUUAGGCAUGUUUUUGUUACUCUAUUAGGCCUGUUUUAUCAACUCUAUUAUUUGGAUUUUUGAUCAAUUUUAUCAUAGAUCUAACUGCAACCUCUUUGUUUUCUACGCACUACACAUCCUCACAAAUAUGGAAACGUUAAUUAGUAUGAAUGUAUGAUCUUGUUAAUUUGUCUGCUUAAGGAAAUCAAGGUAGUUGUAAAGAUACAGUAAAACUUUUGUUAAUUGGGAAUAGAAUUAGGCAAGUUGAAUAACAUAUAAUGAAAAGACUUAUAAACCUAAUUGCUUUACGCUUUGUUUUGUUUGAGAGUGAAAUUUUGGAGGGGAAAAAAUAGAUGAUUUUGGAAAGUCUUCCCCUUGUUUUGGAGUUGUAUGAAGGAGAGGAGAACGUUUUGGAGAUCUUUUAUGUGUCUAUUUUUAAAGUUUCCUCAAUUUAAGGUUUUUAAGAUAAAAUGUCAAAAUAGCUAAAUAUAUUUAGUAAUAAUAAUAUAUACUUACAAAAAGCCUAAAGGUGGAAUAACUUGAGCUAGAAACCCAAAUUGGAGAUUAAAGAUUAGUCAUAACUAGGCUUGCCGACUUGAACUUGAGGGGGUGUAGGGACAAAUAAAUAAAGGUCUUACAUUCAACAAAAUAAGGUGAUUUAAAUUAUAUGGGUUAAAGAAUGGUGUCAAGCUCACAUGUUAUUACUCACAUAGUUUAGUAAUAAAAAAGGCUAAACUCACUCUCUCUCCAUGUAAGAGUUGGAUCAGGCAAACUUCUAAAUUUUAUAUUAAGUUUAUUAGUUUUCAUUGUAAAAGAAAAACUAACUAAAUUGGAAAAAGUUAUAGACAUUUUUCCUUUCUCUUUCGCCAACAAAUAUAUUACAGCACGUAAUUGUUACCAUGCAUGCAUGCAUAAAUCCUAUGGUCCCGUCCCACAACUCACAUGUUCUCUUGGAGCUUUCUUAUUGUCUCUUUCUUUCUCUUCACACAUUCUCUUUUGAAAUGUAUUAUUUCCAUUUUACAUAAUAAUCUGAAUCACUUCCCACCUAAUAAUUUUAGAGAAGAGGGAAAUAAUGAACACAACUUGGUCUGAAUGCUGAAAAUGUACUUAAAUCUCAGGCUUCACAUGGAAUUGUCUCAUGGUUUAAAUUCAUUUUGGAGUUUAGUGGCUACAAGGUUUUGGAAUAAGAUCAUGUUAGAUUUUUUCUUUCAUGGGAAUUAAUAGAAUGUUGUUAGAUGAGAAGAACAAAUGAUGUUGUUUUGUAUUGUUUUUCUUGUGUCAUGGAUUAUGUCUCUCUUCUUCUCCACAUCUAGAUCCCUUAUCACGGCAUGGAGAGUAAUUAACGUAUACCCACUAGAGAUUUGAGAUUUUUCAAAGUUAAAGUUCUAGUUCUUGUCUAGUUACAUUUUUCAAGAAUUAAAGGACAAAACUACAUAAAUAUUUCCGAAGUUCCCUUACAUUUCAAGGACCAAGAUUUUUUAAAAUAACGGCGUUGAAAGCACAUUUUUUAGAAUUUCAUAAAAAAUAUACUGAUAAAGCAAAAAUAUAUAUAUGUGAUUAGUUGAGAAUGUACUUAAAACCUUUUUACAUUAAAAAUGCAUCUAAACUAAAUCCUAAAUUUUUAAGAAUUUAUUUUAUCUUCCACUUUCUUUAUAAUUGAAAGAAUACAUCCAAUAAUGCAUAUAGUCAAUUAGAUCACUUCUACUUAUUUAGAAUUAGUAUCAAUAGAAAGUUAAAUGCAAAUCUAGACCCCUUAUCGCUAGUGCGUGUGUUACGUUCGUGACCUUAUUUUAAAAUAAGUAUCAUCAUAGUCUAAGUUAUCAAUGACAAUUUAGGUUAUGCUCAUGUUGGUCUGUCAGCAUAAUAUGUGGAUAAGGGUCAAAAAUCUUGUUUAUUAGUUCAAAAUGUUUAUUUCAUCUGUAGACUUUUCUAAUGAACACUAUGGGCUGCUCCCGAGUAUUUUGAUCUUAACUAUUGAUUAUUAUGUUUGAUUUUCUAUUAUACUUGAAAUAUAUAAGUAAAUAGACACAUGGACUUAAUAUUUUAAUAUUUUGAGUCAAAAUGUGAUAUCAAACUUAUUUAUAUGUUUAUUUGAUAAAUGAACAUUCUAACUCUAAUUUAGGCGUACCGAUUGAUGUUCCGGCAAGAUAUAUGUUCACAUUUUUCCUUAUUAUUUCAUUCUAUAAUCUCAGAAAGCUUUAGAAACCUUAAUCUCUGUUAUUUGAUUGUUUUUGUAAAACCAUCAUGAAAAUCGACAGCAAACCAUCCCUUUUAAAUACAUGCCAAAUGCAAACAUUAAUAAGACAGUUAUUUGUCUGUAUGAUCAUUAGUAACCUUAUCUUAUUUAAUCCAAUUCCAAAGCAACCCUUUCAACUUGGAGACAAGAGUCAAUGUCACAUAUCAUGCACCAUAUGUUUAAGUUUACAUGUCAAUUCUUACUUCAAUUAACUGAGCAGACCUGAAAAUUGUCUCCAUUGUCUUUCAUAUACCUUUGUCAGCUAUGAGAGAGACUCUAAGCAUUUUCUCAAGUUUAUUUGUUGUCAACUUUUUUUUUUGAUAAGCAAAAUAAUUGGAUUAAAAGUAUAAGGAAUACUAACCCAAGAAGAAUAAAGUAACAAAAAAUGCAUUUGGUUUUUGACGGGAGUCCGAUAAAGCUUAAUAUGGAUCAAGAAGUCAUACAAAAUCUUAAAAAUUUCAAUCGAAAGGAUCAUAAAAAUGCAACCAAAACAGAAUUGUUUGUGAUCAGUUUUGUUACCUUAAGUGUUACUUGGCAAACCUUUUAGCCAAGAACAUGAGCCUCCCAGCUUAAUUUGUAUUGCUGAGUUGAAUUUCUGUUAAAAAGAUGUAUCUAUCUCUUUUCAACUGGAGAGUUAAAUGAUGUUACUUAGAAAGAGCUUAUGAAGAGUAAAUGUAAUCAACCUAAAAUAACAUGUAUGAUUUUCUUUUAAGUUUCUUAGAACUUAUUUCAAUAACCUUAUGAAAGAAGUUUAUAAAAUAUUAUUUUACCAUAUUUUAUAAUAGCUUAUUGAGAUUGACAAUGUUUAGUUUUAGAGUAAUCUUGUAUUCUAAAAACAAAUUAGCUUAAAAUUCCCCUAAUCAUGGAAAUGUGACUUAUGUCACUCAUCAACUAUGACUAAUAAAUUUGUUCACUGAUCAAUUCCAACCACAUGUCACUUUAUAUCUACAUAAAGCUAAUCAUAUAGCUUUUUUUUUUUAUUGUUAUGGAGAUUUUGAAAUUAAUUUGCUAAGAGAAUAAUACCAAUAUUCUAUUUUACAAGGAUCCAACAUGAUAAAACCGAAAAUCUGAACUCCUAAUAAUGAAUGAAGAUCAUCCAGAAAAUCAGACAAAUAAAUAAAUCAAGUAUAGUGAAAUAACGAAAUAAUAAGACAAAUUGGGGUAUCUAAUCUAAUUUCAGAACAAUUAAGUUUAACUAAUCUAUAGUUAUUUACACACAACUCAUUAUAUUAUUUUUAAAGUAAGCAAUUUCUUGCAUUGGACAUUACUGGUUUUCAUUAUUAUUGUAGUAUUAUAAUAAGUUUGGAGACAAAUAUUCCAGCAGCAACAUGGGCUCAUUCAUCACUCGUGUGAAAGGAAACAAAGGCCCCUCCAUGAGGCUAAUUCCAAUUCACAUUAUUCAUGUGGUAUGUUUUCGAAAAGACCAAAAUAUCCCCUGACCGAAGACCAAACAAAAAGUGACUGAAAUGUGUGUAUAGUUGUUGUAGUGAUUGGUAGGGAGCAUCUCCACCAUAACCCGCAAAAUGCGGUCCUCUAUUUCAUUAUAUUUUGAUCUACCUUUGUCGUUUUCGGUUUGACAAGUCACUAUCUCAUCCCUACCACCAAUUAUAUAUACUCCUCUUUUCAACAUCCCUUAGCUUCAUACCCAUAAAUAAAUUUGGCAUACUAAACAAUAUAUAAUAAUAUAGAUCGUAGAUGAUAGAUAUACAUAGUCUUAUCCAACAAAUAGGGAGAUGGUAGAAUUUGAAUUCAUCACCACAUUGUUAGUAAAUUAAACAACAUAUGUAUAAAAAAGAAUUUAUGGGAUGUCAAACCAAAUCAAACAUGAAGAAAUGUAAAAGCAAAUAAUAAGAUAAAUGGGAAUCAUGAUAUAUAGCUUCCCCUUAGUCAAUCAAUUAUAAUAUUCGGUACUAGAGAGUAGUCAUAUAACUGAAAAUCAGAGUGCUACAACUAGAUGUGAUCUUUUGAAAUUAUCACUAUGUUUUUUGUGGUUAAAAGAUAGUGAUGAUUUUGAAAGGUUGUGUAGCCAAAAUUAGAGGCAUGACAAGAGUGAAUUGUAAACAUUCUUUAAUUUUACUAUACAUUGCAUAAGUAGAAUGGACAAAAUAAGAUAUAGAACCCUUAAUUUUAACAAUAUAUAUUGGUCUGACGAGAAAAUACUAAAAAAUAAGAAUUAUGAGUCAUUAAAUACAUUUUGAGAUGAUGUUGAAGUUCUCCGUUUCUUUUCAUUUCUGUCUAAAACUCAACUCGCAGAUAAAGAGUAAACUACUUAUUUAGAUUUGAGGAAGCCUAGCAUGUGUAGUGUCUGGUAGGGACGACAAUAAAAAUCGAACCCGUGGGUCCCUGCCCGAACCGAACCUGAAUUUAACGGGGAAACCCGAUGUGAUUGGGUUCGGGUUUUACCCGGGUUUAAUUCGGGUUCGGGUUUGGUAUAGCAAAGACCUUAACCCGAACCCGCCCUGAAGUAAGGUAAUUCAAUUUAAAAUUGAAAUUUCUAUCAUUUGCCCAUUGUUUUUAAUUUCUAAUUUCACUUUACAUACUAUUAGAUCUUUAAACAUAAAAGAAAUGAAAUAAUACAAGAUAAAAUAGAAAUGUUAGAGAAAAAUUACACGAAAAAAAUAUCAUAUUUUCCUUAACACUUUAUCAUUUUCGGGUUUUUUCGGGUUCGGUUUACCCGAAAUCCGACGGUUUUGGGAUGAUAUUUUUAUUUUCAACCCCAUUGAGUUUGGGUUUGGGUUUUGAAUUUCGGAUUUGGGUUUGGGUAUGUGCAAACUUAUCCCCGACCCCCCUGUUGCCAUUCCUGGUGACGGUCACUAAAAUAGUAAAUUGAUGAUGGGUGCUAAAUUUGUUAGGUAAUUUAAAUUUGUUAACAACUUGGAAAUAGAGUUAGGUAAUUCAAACAUGCAAAGAUGGGUGCUAAAUUGUUAGGAAUUUAAAUCAAGUUUAAGUGAAAUUAAAAGAAGUCUAGCAGUGAGAAUAAAUGGGGGGAAAGUGAGAAUUGUAUAGGUUGAUAAACCCAUAACUAUUAUUUAUGAUAUAACAUUUUGGACAAUAUUUCUUCCCUUGGCCGGCCUCAUGGAAAAAUGUUUUUUUAUUAGAUGUUAAUAUUUUAUUGUGGGUGAGAGUCAAACUCUUAACUUAUUUUACUCAUAUCAAUCACUCUAACCAUGAAACUGCAGUUAAGUAAUUAUUAUUAUUCGUAUUCUUCUGAUUCAACCAUCAAUUGCAUCAAUGAAGUGAUACACACCAAGAUGGAAUAUUAAUUACCAAGUUUAUUGCUACAUGGGUUUGCAUGGUUGUUCAGAAUUUUGUUGUUGUUCUUGUGCCGAAAAAUUCAAGAUUCCACUUUAAAAUUAUAGUAUUUCCUUCUGCGUGGAACCUCAGGAAAGUAGACAUACAUUGAUGAAGUUGAAUCCACGAAUUGCAUGGUUUGUAUAUUGCUUUAAUAUAUCAACAACUAGCUUUUUCCUUUUAUAAAGGAGGGGCACAUAAAGUGCUCAACCAUAAUUGUUGAUGGAAAAGUUAACAAUAUUUACACGACCCAUGCAUGUAAAUAGCACAUUCUACAUGUGUGAUAAUAUAUUUCCUUGAUUUUUUUUAUUAAUAAUAAUGAUCCUACAUUUUACGUUCUAAAUUGCAGCAUUUAUCACUUUAGACUCAAAUGACCAUUAUUUUCUACUGUUUAUAUAUGUUCCUUAAUUUGUAGAAAAAAUGAUUUUAAAAUAGUUUUAAAUAUAUUUUUAGCUUGCAUCCAUCGGGUUAAAAUCUCCGACUUUAUCAAAUCAAGAUAGAUAUGUUAAUAAUCAAGAUCCUAAAAAAUUCUCUUACUUUAGAAAUAAAUGUGAAGAUCCUCAAAAAAGGCUAGCAAUGCACAAUAUUUUAAGCUGUUGAGACCUAAUAUAGAAAUAAUUCAAUAGGUAAUAGAUAUGAACUCUUAGGCUUUGUUUGGGAGUUAAGAGAGAAAGGAAAUGAGAGGGAUGAGAGGGUAAAGAGGGGUGAGGAAAGGAAGGAGAAGGGAGGGCAAAUCCAACUAAACCCCUCCCUUGUUUGGGAGUGUGGAAUUUAGAUAGGAGGGGAUGGAGGAUUAAUGUAAUAUAAAAAUAUUAUUUUACCCCCCUUUAAAAAAAUCAAUAGUAUGUUAUGUAUUAUAUGUUAUAGAAUAAUAUUAGUAAGGGUAGUUAAGUAAUUUGACUUAUUUUCCUCCCAAAAUACCCCAAUUUGGAGGAACUGAGUAUUUUGGCAUUUGGAGGGUUUGAGGGAGUUUGAAAAAUCCUUCAAAACCCUCCCAUCUCCACCACUAAACUCCCAAACAAGAGAAUCCAUCUCCUAAACCCUCCCAUUCCUUUCCUCCCCCUCCAAAAUGGUACUCCCAAACAUGCCCUUAGUGUAAACAAUUUUCGAAUUAUUUAAUAAAGGUAAAAAACUUAUGUUGUUCUAUAGGUGUUUGCAACGAUGUUUUUCAACAAGAAUAAAACAUGCAUCAUUUUUGUUGAUAAGUUGUGACAUAUAUUGAAGAUCAACAUCAUAGGUCCCAAUGAAACAUCACCUAAGUUUUCUCCUAAUCAAAAACCACAACUCUUGUUCGAGAGGACUCAGUUAAUAUGUUUGAGAUUACCAAAGAAAGAGUUGCAGCAAGCUAGCUUUUAAGUUUUAACUCCAGACUUCAAGAGUCAAUACCCAACUGUAGAUCCCAAGCUUUUAAUCCUUACAUAAGGGAGACUUGAACCCUCUUCUAAGUACUUGUAUCAACCCUCUAUGUGGGUUAAAGAAUUCCAGGUCCAAUAGUGGAAUAUGCAUUUUUUCAUAACCCAACACUCAAUAUAUAUAAUAAAUACAAAAUAAAAUAAAUGAAAGUUUAAUCAGAAAAAAAUACAUGCGCUAACAGUGUAUGAAUUUUAUAUAUUAUUACUGUAUUAUUUAUCGUUCAUAUUUUUUCAUCAUUGACUUUUCAAAAAAAAAAAUUAAAAAAAAUGGUAGAUAAUAUAUUCACUAUGUACAAAUCUUUACACUAAUAAUGCAUAUAUAUUACUUUAAUCUACUCACAAUAAAUAAAAAUGAACAUUUGAUUGGUAGGAAAGUGAUUAUUUUGUGUUAUAAAAACUGUUUUUAUAUACCAUAUUCAUUUACUUGACCCCACUCCAGGAAUAAUUCCACUAAACUAAUUUUCCUUUCAUCCCCUCUCUUACAUUGUCUUCAUACUCUGUUUGCACUUUAUUUUAUGUUCAUCUUCCUAUUAUUCUUUAUACCCUUCUUUUGAAUCUUAUACUCCUUUUCCUUUUAGACUAUUCUAAUAAUGAUGGGAAGUAUAUAGCUGGUUGCUUCUAAAUUUUCAAGCCACUAAAACUACACAAUAGCUGGCAAGCUGUUCAACUUUUUUAUGUUCCAAGUUCCAAGUUCAAACCCCACUCUUUUAAGAGAAACAAAGAAUGUUGCCAACUAUUGUUGUAUUAAUUGCAAUGUUCCAUUAGAAAAGCAAAACAAAAUGUCACAACUUUAAUUAAAGGGAGCACAAACUUAACUAAUGUUUCCAAUAUAAUAACUUCAAACACAUCCUCUAUUUUCUUUUCUAAAUCAUCAUUGUCGGAUAUACUAACACCACAUACCUCAAAACUAUAUUGUUGUGGUGUUGAAGUAAUUCAUGCAACAAAUGCUUUUAUGGGGUGGCAAUGGCAGCUUGGAAACGCGUUUCAUAAAGACUAAUGUUUGUACUAAACGAGUUACGUGUCAUGCACUUAAUCCACAAAACCCUAUGUCGAGCGUGUAAGUAUAUAAGGAAAAACAAAGGCAUCUAUAACUACCUAAUCAUUAGUGUUCAGAAAAAUGUGUAUUUCUGGCAGAUAGUAUAUAUCUCGUUCCCAUUAUAAGCAAUUUAACAAUAUUUGAGACCCUUUUUCUAUAAUAAUCUAAUCAACUUUUGUAUGCAGAAGCUUUGCUUUGUGGUGCCAGUGCCCUUAAAAGAAGUUGACUUCAUUGCUGUCUCAGAAUUUAUCUGAACUUCUUUUGUAGGUUCCUCUGGAUAUAUAUAUAUAUAUAAGUAUAUUUCUUAGUAGUGUAUGUGUCUGAGAUGCAGCCAGCAUGUUCUUUUCCUCGGCCAACAGCCAAGAUAUAAAUAAAUUAAUUUACAUGACCAAGUCAUGAAUGUUUUCAUUUGGUGUAUUAGUUAAUUCUAAUUUAGGAGUUUUGAUUAAAGGAGGAAGUUGAUCCAUGAAUUUCAAAUAGCAGGUAAUGACUAGUUUAUAUCUCUUAAUACUUUUUUUUAGCAUGCAAGGGCUUUUUUAACUUAUAGUUAUAGAUUAAUCUAAUUAGAGACUAUCAAAGUAAAUUUUGUAUCUACUAAUAAAACAUUUCGAUACACAUAACAAAGAUCUAACACUUCAUAUUAUGUUAAUGGAUCAUAAAGUCAUGCGUCCCCUUGCAGAAAAAAGUAAUAAAAGCUUUUCACAAUAUUAUAUUAACUAUAUAAAAGACUUGAGAGUUUUAUAUUGGGUUAAUAAAUAUUGAUGUUAGGAGAUUACAAUUUAAAAGACUAUUGGUCUUAGAGAUAGAUUGACUGCCCUUAAUAGAAGUAAAUUAAAUUGACUAGCUUCAACGAAUGAAGAUUAUUUAUUUUAAACCAUAUUUCACACGCAUUAUAAUAAAGUAAAAAUAGGAAAAAAAUAAUAAAACUUUAAUUUGUAAUCAAUAUAUUAUGUUUUUAUUAAUACAAAACAUGUUUUGGGAUAACAGAUUUUUAUUAGAGUUGAUAACUAAUCAAAAUUCUCAUCAAUACCGGCACUACAUUUAAUAAUGGGACAUAACAAACCAUGAAAAAGUAAGCUGACUCCAUUGCAAAAUUUGACAAACAACUCAGCAUAAAAUAAUCGUUGGCCUUGUUUUUACGUACACACACAUGUUGCCUUGUCGCUAAAAUAACUAUAAGUGAUGUAACUAGUGAAUAUGGUGUGUGGCAUCUUAUAAACUGUGCCCCCAUCUAAUACGGCUCCUAUCAAUAUAUUUAUAUGGACCAGGAUCACAUGUCCCAAAAAGUUCAUAUCUCUAUAUAUCAGACUAAUUAUUUUCAUCCAUAUGAUAUAAAAAAUAUAUUUUAUAUUUUUAUUAUUUUUCUUUUCAAUUAUAUGUCAAUUUUUAAUUGACUUAGUAUACAAAUGGGAUACUAAAAAUGGAAUAAGUGAUUUUCAUUCAUAUUUCUAUACCCUCAUGGCAUAUAAGUAUUAGUUAACUUAGAGAAGGACCUUAUAAAAAAACAAAAAUCACAAGAGUAGUAACUAUGAAAGAGUAGUUACUAUUAAGUCAACUUCCACUUUCUUUACUUAGCAAAAUGUGGCCUUGUGAACCAAAUUUGUGCGUAAUUGCACUAAUGUGAACCUCAUAAAGAAGUUCCAAAAAUGAAGGUUUCACCGUUUCAUUGCAAUGUUAUGCUACUUGAACAAAAAAUGCUUUGGAGGUAUCUUAUUCACAUUUUCAUUAUGCUUAUUAAUUGCUUAGACAGUACUAUAUUAUACCAUCAUAUAUCAUAGAUUAAAUAUAAAGGCAAGCUUUAUCCACAGGCACGUUGUUUUCGGAGCUAAAAUAGAACAUUAUCCCUUGAGAAGAAAAAAAAAAUACUCAUUGCAAACAAUAUGUCAUUUAUUACAUUGAUUGUAGUCUCCAACUCUUCACUGAUCAACAACCAACUCAACACCUCAGCUACUUCCUCUCUAAAAUCUAAGCCAAUAUAUAAUUUGUCUGAUUGAACUAACCACAUUAUUGAACAUUUGAACUUAUUCAAAAUAUUUUUGGGAAAAUGUACAACAUUAAAAAUUAAAAUUAAACAACUUAUGGGAAGAAGAAAAAGAUUGCCAUAUAGUAUGAGAUUAGUGAUGAACCAUACUUUCCUUCUCCUCCUACUAACCUUAGUUAUCGCCACUAAUUAAAUUAUAGUCACAAAUAGAAUACAAUAGAGAAGUAUCAAUAAUGUCUCUAUAUAUAAAGAGAAAAAAAUCAUCCCAUGGUCAAAGAUUUCUUGACAACUACAAUUAUCCUUUAGACUUACAGUCGAAAAUAUUGUGAUAACUAUUACAUCAGGUACUUCUUGAUGUAAUACUUAUCGCAAUAUUUUCGAGUAUGAGUAGGAAGGAUAAACUGCGAAAAAUCUUAACCUUAAGAUGCAUGCCAGAAGGUGUUGAUACGAUAGCAUUAGCAAGCAUAGAAGUCAACAAGUUCAUCAAGAGACUCAGGUUGUGGGUCAGUAUUCUCGAGCAUCCAAAGCAAGUGUUCGAAGAGAACAACCUCACAAGCCACAUUAAUGUUAUCAUGUUGGUGUUGUUGUUCAUCACGUGACCUCUCGACGAGUUCCCGGAAAAGUGGGUGGUCGACGACAUCAGAGGUGACACGGUAGAGACGGCGGGACUUGCCAACGUAGACAGGGUGGAGGUCUGAUCUGGAGGAAGGAGAGUCGUCGUGGUUGGCGACGGAGCUGACGCUGUGGUGGCUGUGUUUGGUGCCGAAUGAGUUCCAUUUUUUGAGGACUGAUUUGAGUUUCGUUAGUUUACCACCUUUUGACAUGUUGAAAGAUGUGAAAUGGGUAAAGAGGGAAAGGAAUUGAGUGAAUGAAAGAGAAGAUGCAGAGAGAUGCAGUGGCACAUGGGGAGAGCGAAAGGGGAGGGAAGGUUCCUAUAUAUACUAAAAGAUAUGGAGAGAUGGAAGAGGGGUGAAAUUGUCAAAUUCAUGCAAGUACUAGUAUAGAGUGGGACCCCAACAUAUAUUUCACUAAAUUCUUUGAUGUGUAAUGUGUUAAGUAUUUCUUUUUAUAUGUCAAUAACUAAUUUUUUUAAAGAUCAAUGAUUAUUAUUUUUAAGAAUUGUGUCUUUUGAAAAUUGAAUGAUUUAGAUUUUGAGUUUAUUGGGAUUUAACGAGAUUUUAUAACAUUAAAUCAACAUCUUAUUAAUAAUAUGUUAAAUAUAUUUGCUUGGACUAAUAAUAAUAAAGUAAAAGAAAAAACAAUGGUGAAUAUUUAAAAUUUUAAUCACCUUUAUAUUUUUUAUCAAAUUGAGAAAACGUAUAAUAUAGAUUCUAAGACAAUAGAUUUUUCUAUACAUACACCAUUUUUCUCUUUGAAAAAUAAAGUAGAGUGUUAAUUUUAUACGUAUUCACUCUAUUUCAUUUUUCAGAAAAGAAAAAUAUAAGAUGAGUGUGUUGAAUAUAUAUUGGGAAUGUAUUUCUCACACCUGGAAGGGAAAAACGUUACAUGAGAGUGAGGAAAAGAAAUCCGAGCCUUUAAAUUAAAAUAAAGGGUUCAUGUGUCACCACUCAGAGAAAAUAUUUUUCUAGGAUAUUGAAGAUUAAAUUUUUUUUCUAGGAGAAGGUGAGUUUUUCCCAUGAAAUCUGAGUUGGAUUUAGGUAAGUUACCUAAGACUUUGGUAAAAUUAUCAUUCUUAACCACAUAUUUUGUUUUCUCUUCUUAAUUGUUAUGCCUAAACAUUUUUGUAUUCAGUCACAUAUUCAUAUUUAUCCAACGAAGUGUAAAUUUCAAAACUUUAGUUUCAUACAAUCUAUUCUUUUGGUGUUACCAAUUUUUUUUAUAGACACGAUUGAUAUUCUUAACAAAUGUCAUUUUUAAUAAUCGAAUAUCUUAUCUUUUAAUCUUUGCGGGUAAUAUGAUAUGCAAGGUAUAGUACCAAAAACCAUUUAAUAUGUUGUUUUUUCUUUUAUCUAGAUUACAUGUAUCNNNNNNNNNNNNNNNNNNNNNNNNNNNNNNNNNNNNNNNNNNNNNNNNNNNNNNNNNNNNNNNNNNNNNNNNNNNNNNNNNNNNNNNNNNNNNNNNNNNNAUGACCAAGAGGAUGAAGACGAGGAUGAGGAUAGGAGGAGGACGAGAAUGAGGAUGAGGAUAGGAUAGGAUAGGGAUGUGGAUGACCAAGAGGAUGAAGACGAGGAUGAGGAUAGGAGGAGGACGAGAAUGAGGAUGAGGAUAGGAUAGGAUAGGGAUGUGGAUGACCAAGAGGAUGAAGACGAGGAUGAGGAUAGGAGGAGGACGAGAAUGAGGAUGAGGAUAGGAUAGGAUAGGGAUGUGGAUGACCAAGAGGAUGAAGACGAGGAUGAGGAUAGGAGGAGGACGAGAAUGAGGAUGAGGAUAGGAUAGGAUAGGGAUGUGGAUGACCAAGAGGAUGAAGACGAGGAUGAGGAUAGGAGGAGGACGAGAAUGAGGAUGAGGAUAGGAUAGGAUAGGGAUGUGGAUGACCAAGAGGAUGAAGACGAGGAUGAGGAUAGGAGGAGGACGAGAAUGAGGAUGAGGAUAGGAUAGGAUAGGGAUGUGGAUGACCAAGAGGAUGAAGACGAGGAUGAGGAUAGGAGGAGGACGAGAAUGAGGAUGAGGAUAGGAUAGGAUAGGGAUGUGGAUGACCAAGAGGAUGAAGACGAGGAUGAGGAUAGGAGGAGGACGAGAAUGAGGAUGAGGAUAGGAUAGGAUAGGGAUGUGGAUGACCAAGAGGAUGAAGACGAGGAUGAGGAUAGGAGGAGGACGAGAAUGAGGAUGAGGAUAGGAUAGGAUAGGGAUGUGGAUGACCAAGAGGAUGAAGACGAGGAUGAGGAUAGGAGGAGGACGAGAAUGAGGAUGAGGAUAGGAUAGGAUAGGGAUGUGGAUGACCAAGAGGAUGAAGACGAGGAUGAGGAUAGGAGGAGGACGAGAAUGAGGAUGAGGAUAGGAUAGGAUAGGGAUGUGGAUGACCAAGAGGAUGAAGACGAGGAUGAGGAUAGGAGGAGGACGAGAAUGAGGAUGAGGAUAGGAUAGGAUAGGGAUGUGGAUGACCAAGAGGAUGAAGACGAGGAUGAGGAUAGGAGGAGGACGAGAAUGAGGAUGAGGAUAGGAUGAGGACGAGGAUGAGGAUAGGAUAAGGAAGAGGAUGAGGAUAAGGAAGAGGAAAGGAUGAGCAUGAGGAUGAGGACGAUGAUAGGAUUAGGAGUAGAAUGAGGAUGAGGAUGAGGGUGAGGAUAAGGAUGAGGAUGAAGACGAGAAUGAGGAUGAGGAUGAGGAUAAGAUGGGGAUGAGGAUAGGAUGAGGAUGAGGAUGAGCAAGAGGAAGAGGACGAGGAUGAGGAUAAGAGGAGGACGAAAAUGACCAUGAGGAUGAGGAAAAGAAUGCGGAUGAGGAUGAGCAUGAGGAUGAGGAUAGGAUGAGGAUUAGGCCGAGGAUAGGAUGAGGACGAGAAUGAGGAUGGGGAAGAGGAAGAGGAUGAGGAUAGGAUGAGGACGAGAAUGAGGAUGAGGAGGAGAAGGAGGAUGAGGAUGAGAAUAGGAUGAGGAUGAGGAAGAGGAUAGGAUAAGAAUGAGGAGGAGGAGGAGAAUGUGGAAGAGGAUGAGGAUGAGGAAGAGGAUGAGGAUGAGGACAGGGAUAGGACGAGGACGAGAAUGAGGAUGAGGUUGAGGAUGAGGAUAGGAUGAGGAUGAGGAUGAGGUUAGGAUGAGGAUGAGGAUGAGGAAGAGAGAGAAUGAGAAUGAGGAUAGGAUGAGGAUGAGCAUGAGGAUAGGAUGAGGAGGAGAAUGAGGAUGAGGACGAGGAUAAAGAAGAGGAUGAGGACGAGAAAGAGGAUGAGCAUAGGAUGAGGACGAGAAGGAGAAAGAGAAUGAGGAUAAGAUGAGGACGAGAAGGAGAAAGAGAAUGAGGAUAAGAUGAGGAUGAGGACGAGGAUGAGGAUAGGAGGAAGAUGAGGACGAGAAGGAGAAAGAGAAUGAGGAUAAGAUGAGGACGAGAAGGAGAAAGAGAAUGAGGAUAAGAUGAGGAUGAGGACGAGGAUGNNNNNNNNNNNNNNNNNNNNNNNNNNNNNNNNNNNNNNNNNNNNNNNNNNNNNNNNNNNNNNNNNNNNNNNNNNNNNNNNNNNNNNNNNNNNNNNNNNNNGGAGGAUGAGGAGGAGGAGGAGGAUGAGGAUGAGGACUUGGAUGAGGAUGAGGAGGAGGAGGAGGAGGAGGAGGAUGAGGAUGAGGACUUGGAUGAGGACUUGGAUGAGGAUGAGUAUGAGGAGGGGGAUAGGAUGAGGACGAGAAUGAGGAUGAGGAUGAGGAUAGGAUGAGGAUGAGAAUGUGGAAGAGGAUGAGGAUGAGGAUGAGGAUGAGGAUAAGGAUAGGAUGAGGAUGAGGAUAAGAAUAGGAUGAGGAAGACGAUGAGGAUGAGGAUAGGAUGAGGAGGAGAACGAGGAAGAGGAUGAGGAUAGGAUGUGGAUGAGGACGAGGAUGAGGAUAGGAUGAGGAUGAGGAAGUGGAUGAGGAUAAGGAAGAGGGUAGGAUGAGGAUGAGGAUGAGGAUGACGAUGAAGAUACGAUAAGGAUGAGGAAGAGGAUGAGGAUAAAGAGGAGGACAGGAUGAGGACGAGAAUGAGAAUGAGGAUAGGAUGAGGAUGAGGACGGGGAUAGGAUGAGGAGUAGAAUGAGGAUGAGGNNNNNNNNNNNNNNNNNNNNNNNNNNNNNNNNNNNNNNNNNNNNNNNNNNNNNNNNNNNNNNNNNNNNNNNNNNNNNNNNNNNNNNNNNNNNNNNNNNNNUAGGAUGAGGAUGAGAAUGAGGAUGAGGAUAAGAAGAGGAUGAGAAUGAGGAUGAGGAUAGGAUGAGGAAGAGGCUGACGAUAGGAUGAGAAUGAUGAUAGGAUGAGGACGAGCAUAAGGAUGAGGAUAGGAUGUGGAUGAGGACGAGGAUGAGGAAGAGGAUAGGAUAAGAUGAUGACGAGAAUAAGGAAGAGGAUAGGAAUAGAAUGAGAAUGAGGAAGAGGAUGAGGAUGAGCAUGAGGAAGAGGAAGAGGAUAAGGAUAGGAUAGGAUGAGGAUGAGGAUGAGGAUAGGAUGUGGACGAGAAUGAGGAUAAGGAUAGGAUAAGGAUGAGGAUAAGGAUGAGGACAGGAUGAAGACGAGAAUGAGGACGAGGAUAUGAUGUGGAUGAGGAUGAGGAUGAGGAUGUGGAUGAGGAUGAGGAUGAUGAAGAGGAUAGGAUGAGGAUGAGGAUGAGAUGUGGAUGCGGAUGAUGAUGAGGAUGAGGAUAGGACGAGGAUGAGGAUAAGGACGAGGAUGAGGAUAGGAUGAGGAGGUGGAUGAGGAAGAUGAAGAGGAUGAGGAUGAGGAUGAGCAUGAGGAUGUGGAGAGGAUGAGGACGAGCAUGAGGAUGAGGAUAGGAUGUGGAUUAGGACGAGGAUGAGGAUAGGAUGAGCACGAGAAUGGGGAUGAGGAUAGGAUGAAGGAUGAGGAUGAGGAAAGGAUGAGGACGAGCAUGAGGAUGCGGAUAGGAUGUGGAUGAAGACGAGGAUGAGGAUAGGAUGAUGAUGUGGAUGAGGAUAAUAUGAAGAUGAGGAUGAGGAUAUGAUAGGAUGUGGAUGAGGACGAGGAUGNNNNNNNNNNNNNNNNNNNNNNNNNNNNNNNNNNNNNNNNNNNNNNNNNNNNNNNNNNNNNNNNNNNNNNNNNNNNNNNNNNNNNNNNNNNNNNNNNNNNCAUGAGGAUGAGGAUGAGGAUGAGGAAGGGAGGAGGAGGAGGAUGAGGAUGAGGAUGAGGAUGAGGAUAGGAUGAGAAGGAGGAUGAGGAUUGGAUGAGGAUGAGGAUAGGAUGAGGAGGAGAAUGAGCAUGAGGAUAAGAUGAGGAUGAGGAUGAGGACGAGAAUGAGGAUGAGGAUGAUGAUAGGAUGAGGACGAGAAUGAGGAGGAGGAUGAGGUAGAGGACGACGAUAGGAUGAAGAUGAGGAUAGGACGAGGAUGAGGAUGAGGACGAGAACGGGGAUGAGGAUGAGGAUAGGAUAUGAUGAGGACGAGGAUGAGGAUGAGGAUAGGACGAGGACGAGGACGAGAAUGAGGAUUGGAUGAGGAUUGGAUGAGAAUGUUGAGGAGGAAGAGGAUGAGGAUGAGGAUGAGGAUUGGAUGAGGACGAGAAUGAGGAUGAGGAUGAGGAUAGGAUGAGAAUGAGGAAGAGGAUGAGGAUAGGAUAAGGACGAGGAUAGGAUGAGGAUGACAAUGUGGAAGACGAUUCAGAUGAGGAUAAGAUGAGGACGACAAUGAGGAUGAUGAUGAGGAGGAGGAUAGGAUGAGGACGAGCAUGAGGAUGACGAUAGGAUGAGGACGAGAAUGAGGAUGAGGAUGAGGAAAGGAUGAGGAUGAUUAUGAGGAUGAGGAUGAGGAUGAGGAUGAGGACGAGAAUGAGGAUGAGGAUAAGGAUAGGAUGAGGAUGAGGUUAGGAUAAGGAUGAGAAUGUGGAGGAGGAAGAGGAUGAGGAUAGGAUGAGGACGAGAAUGAGGAUGAGGANNNNNNNNNNNNNNNNNNNNNNNNNNNNNNNNNNNNNNNNNNNNNNNNNNNNNNNNNNNNNNNNNNNNNNNNNNNNNNNNNNNNNNNNNNNNNNNNNNNNCAACAAAAUGGUGUUGUAGAGAGAAAGAAUAGGUCUUUAGAAGAACUGGCUCGAACAAUGUUAAAUGAAACUAACCUCCCAAAAUAUUUCUGGGCAGAUGCAGUAAGUACUGCUUGUUAUGUUUCGAACCGAGUUCUCAUAAGACCUAUUCUCAAGAAAACCCCCUAUUAACUCUUUAAAGGUAGAAAACCAAACGUUUCUCAUUUGCAUGUAUUUGGUUAUAAGUGUUUUGUUUUAAAUAAUGGAAAGAAUAACUUGGGAAAAUUUGAUGCAAAAGCAGAUGAAUGGAUCUUCCUAGGCUACUCUCUUACGAGUAAAGUUUACAGAAUUUUUAAUAAGAGAACACAAGCCAUGGAAGAAUCUGGUCAUGUAUCUUUUGAUGAAACCAAUAUUGAGAUAAAAGGUGUUAUAACUCCUGAUGAGGAGGAACUGCCAAGUUCUUCUUCAAAUGAAAUUUCCAUUAUUGAAUCUACAACUGAUACUGAGCAAUUGAAAAUGAAUGAUAACCUACCAUCUCAAGAGGAGCAUACUCAUUCAGAUUUACCAAAAUAAUGGAGAACUUAUCGAUACCAUCCAAUUGACAAUAUUAUUACUGAAUUAAAUCCGGGUAUCACAACCCGACGAAUGCUUGAUAAAGCUUGUCUUAACACGACCUUCGUCUCUCAAAUCGAACCCUCCAAGAUUGAUGAAGCAAUUGAGGAUGAACACUAGAUUCUUGCUAUACAGGAAGAAUUAAACUAGUUUGAGAGAGACGAAGUUUGGGAACUUGUUCCCAGACCUAAAAAUAUGCAUGUUAUUGGAACUCAGUGGGUAUUUAGAAAUAAAUAUGAUGAAAAUGGUAUAAUAGUUAGAAAUAAAGCUAGACUAGUAGCCCAAGGAUACAACCAGGAAGAAGGUAUCGAUUUUGAUGAUUCUUUUGCUCCGGUUGCUAGACUUGAAGCUAUUAGGCUAUUACUUGCAUAUGAUUGCUCUUUGAAUUUUCAGUUAUAUCAAAUGGAUGUAAAGAGUACUUUCCUCAACGGCUACAUUCAAGAAGAAGUGUUUGUUGAACAACCUCCUGGUUUUGAAGAUUACAAACAUACUUCUUAUGUCUACAAAUUAAUGAAAGCUCUCUAUGGCUUAAAGCAAGCUCCUUGCGCAUGGUAUGAUCGUCUACCUAAAUUUCUACUUGAAAAAUGUUUCAACAAAGGAAAGGUCGACAAUACUCUCUUCAUAAAGACAAUAAAUCAUCAUACUUUACUUGUUCAAAUUUAUGUAGAUGAUAUUACUUUCGAUUCUACUAAUGAGUUGUUAUGUAGUGAUUUUGGCAAUNNNNNNNNNNNNNNNNNNNNNNNNNNNNNNNNNNNNNNNNNNNNNNNNNNNNNNNNNNNNNNNNNNNNNNNNNNNNNNNNNNNNNNNNNNNNNNNNNNNNGAUGUGUCUAUAGAAUUUGUUGAUACUCAUAACCAACUAGCAGAUAUAUUCACAAAACCUUUGGCAAAAGAACCUUUCUAUAAAAUUAGACGAGAAUUAUGCAUUCUUGAUGAAGCAUAUUUAACUUAAAUGCCUAUAUAUGACUAUAUGUAUGCUUCAUUAUAUCUAUUUCAUGCCUACUUGAACUUAAAUGUGUUUAUUUAUGUUUAAAAUUUUCAAUUUUUGGGUUAAAAAUCAUUUUCAUAGCUUAAUUUUGCCUAAAAAUAAGUUUUUCUGGGUUCAGUAAUCGAUUACACUGGAGAGUAACCGAUUACAGGGUUGAACAUCGUAUUUCAGUAACCGAUUACCCAAAGUGAGUAAUCGAUUACUCUGAGUUGCUGUUUGAAAAAUUUUAAAUUUUUUAAUUUGAGUAACCGAUUACUCAAAAUGAGUAACCGAUUACUCUGUAUUGUUAUAUAUGUAUUUUUUGCAUUUUUCUUACUUUUUCAAACUCAUCUUCCUCACGCAACUCGUGAGGGAAAGAAAUUCGAGUCUUUAAAUUAAAAUAAAGGGUUCAUGUGUCACCACUCUAUAUAUAGAGAAAACUUUUUUUCUAGGAUAUUGAAGAUUAAAUUAAUUUCUUAUAUAAUCUGGGUUUUACAAUUUGUCAACAAGCAAUUUUUUUUAUCAAUACAUUUAUUAUUAUAAAUUAAUAAUCAUAAAUAUAUUAAUUACAUAUUUAAAAUAUAUAAAAUUAUAAUAAAAAUAUGGUAUAAGUUGAAAAUAUAAAUUAUUGCUAAUUGUAAAAUAAGGGGAAAAUAUUUUACAUCCCAUUUCAAUAAGUUUUCAAUUAAAUAUUAUAUUAAGAUGAUUGAAUAACAUAAAGUCCAUUAAUAUUUUUCUCUAAUCAACAUGUGUUGAUUUAAGUGAGUGUUUGAGUAUGAGAAAAUCGAUUUCAUUCUUCUUAACUAAUGACAUAAUUAUUGAGUUGAGCUGAUCAAUAGUAUUAGAAUAUGAGAAGAAUUAAAUUUGUUUAUUACAAAAUAAUUUCAAAUCAUAGUUGUUAAAGAUUAUUGUUGUCAUGUGUUACAAUUUCCUUUAAUUGUAGACUCUUUCAUACCAGAAAAGAUUCUCAUCCAUAAUUAUUACACUUAGGUGAAGGAAGCAGCGAUCUCAUUUUCUUCAAGAAGCUUUGGGUGAGUAAUGUCCCAUCAAAGAUGAAGUGCCUAGUAUGGAAAAUUGCUUUGGAUGGUAUUCCAACUAAACUCAACCUAGAUCAUAGAGGGGGUUUAGGAGUACAUGACUCCCUUUUGUGUGCUUUUUGUGGUGAGUUGGAGAAAUCCACUAGUCACUUGUUCUUUUCUUGCCCAACAUCUUACAUAAUUUGGCAAAGACUCUAUUCUUACUUUGGACUUACCUCUAUUAUUCAUAAUGAAGUAAAGACCCAUUUGUCAAUUCAUGCAUCUUUGUUACGGAUGGACAACAAGAAAAUUCAUUUGUGGAUGGAGAACAAGCGUUUUCACCUUGAUGAGAUGAUGGAGCUUAUUUUGCUACAUUCUUGGAGUCUUAUCAAUGUCCGCUUCCCUUUCUUUUCUUUUUCUCUAGCUGAUUGGUUGAGGAAUCCUUCAAAUGGUAUUCUUCCCUUCCCUUUCUUUUCUUUUUCUCUAGCUGUUUGGUUGAGAAAUCAUUCAAAUGGUAUUCUUCCGUAUUAUUUGUAGGGAUUUAGUGGAUAGGAGUACCACUUGUUCUCCUAAUUUUUCUUUAUCUCUAUAUUAAUUCUCUUAUUGCUGAUAAAAAAAAAACUUGUGAAAAUAUUUAGAAACCUCACUUAGGUUGUAUGUUAUAAAAAAUUAUAAAGUGGUAAGGGUAUAUACUUAGAAGUAGAAUAAUAAAAAUGUUGAGAGUUCAAAUUUUAUUAAUUACAAAAUAUUAAUAUACUAACAUUUGUCGAUAAAAAGAUAUUAUGUCCUCUUUUGUUUUGGAGAUAUAUUGUCCAAUUUGAAAAAAAUAAUAGGUUCUCACAGAUGACAAAUAUUUUGAAAAAUACAAAAUGGUUUUAUGAUUUCAAAGUAAACCGUUAUUAGCACACUAUAUAUAUAUAUAUACUAAAUACAGUUUUCAUCCCUUUUUUGAAGUAUAUCUAAAACUAAAUUCAUUAUAUGCAACUUAAUAAAAACAUAUUAGAAAUUAUGUUGCUGCCAUUUGGAUUUUGGACACUGUUGUGAAUACAUUGGCUUCACAGCUCUAUUCUGAUUCGGUGAACUGUCGUUUGCCUAAGUUCUUUCAUUUUCGUUUACUUUUCUCAAAUUCUUUUGUUUAAGCUUUGUUGUGUCUUUUGGAGUACAAUUUAAAAAGUUACAGAUUAAUUCUUUUUCUUCGUUUACAUGUGGUUAUCGUUACUUUUUUUCUUCAAUAAUACAAAGAUAUAGAAUCUUCCUGUAUAAAUUGUUAACCAAAACUUAAGGUUGAAAAUAACAAAAAUAAGCUAUUUAUGUAGGGAUGAGAAAGGGGAGGAUUGAGAGUAGAUUUGUGCUUACAUAACCCCUGCAUUUUGUACUUGAACGCAACGGGUUUAAAAAAAUAUAUCAUUCUUGUUUCCGUGGGGUUUCACAUAAAUCUAACUUGUAUCUAACUGACCGAAAUGUGCCUCUUACUAUUCUGUAUAUUACUAUCACUUAUCACAUUUAGCAAUAGGGUUUGGAUAGGAGAAGGUGAGUUUUUCCCAUGAAAUUUGAGUUGGAUUUAGGUAAGUUACCUAAGACUUUGGUAAAAUUAUCAUUCCUAACCACAUGUUUUGUUUUCUCUUCUUAAUUGUUAUGCCUAAACAUUUUUGUAUUCAGUCACAUGUUCAUAUUUAUCCAACCAAGUGUAAACUUUAAAACUUUAGUUUCAUACAAUCUAUUUUUUUGGUUUACCAAUUUUUUUCCAGAAUUCACGAUUGACAUUCUCAACAAAUGUCACUUUUAAGAAUUGAAUAUCUAAUCUUUUAAUUUUUGCGGGUAGUUUCAUACAAUAUGAUAUGCAAUGUAUAGUACCAAAAACCAUUUAACAUGUUGUUUUUUCUUUUAUCUAGAUUACAUGUAUCUUUAGCUAAAAUAUUUCAUUUAUUUAUAAGAAUCAAAUUCAAGAGUUGGCUCAAGUAAAAUGAAGCAUUUAAUAAUACAUGAAUAUGUUGUUUAAGUAAUUCCUUUAUCCGCUAGGACCACACACGUGCUAUAUGAAACAUAAGUUCAGAAUAAAGAAGUUCCUGAACCAAACCAAAAACAAGGUUUAUUGCUUGUCAUCAAAUACUAAUAUAAAUUAUCUAAUUACUUCAUAUUUCCGAGUAGGUCAAACUCUAUCAACAUAAAAAAUAUAUAUAUAUAUAUAUAUAUAUAUAUAUGAGUAUAAAAUCUAUGCAUUGUCCGUAUAAAGAUUUAUACACAUGCAUUUCAUCCUCCACUAUUCAUUUAGAUUACUUUUUUCAAUAACAAUUAAAAAUCACUAGUAAAUGAUACAAUGACAGUGUAUAAAAUUCAUACAUUAUCAGUGCAUACAUCUUUUUCUCUCUAUGUAUGAAGGGGAUCACUUGUCCCUAAUGGUAACAUGUUUCCUGUCUCAGACUAAUCACAUAUUGUCACAUGAAUAAAAGAAAUUGUUUAAAAUUAAAACAAUUUACCUGAGACAAAAAAAUGAAACAUCAUUUAAGACAAAUAAUAUUUUUCCUAUUAAAUAUAUGACAUUUCAUUCCUUACAAAUAGAUCCCAACAAAAUCGCUACACCUAUAUUUUAAAACUAGAGAAACAGUAUUACACUAAAGUUACCGCAAGAUCUAUUAUUAAUUAUUAUAAACUCUUAAAAUAAAAAUAAAAUAUAUGAAUCAUAAUAAUAUAUUAACAUUGUAAUAAUGUACUGACAAUAUUAAACUAUAUUGAUAGUGUAAAAACAUACUAAUAAUAUAAAAACUAGUAGAUAGGUGCAUAAAUUUUACACUGUAUCUAUGCUUAGAAGAUGUAAAAAUGUGUGUCAGUCGUUAUAAAUUUAUGUAUUUUAAAAACCAUAUUUUUAUGAGUAAAUUACCUUUGAUAAUUCUUGAAUCAUUUUAUUCAAGUUUUCCUCUCUUCCACUCUCAGAAUAUGUUUUAAAUAUUAAUUAUCAGUCAUUCUGAACGUUUGCUAGUAAUAGUUUCUCUUUAAUAAUGAUAUUUCCACAAUUUAACAUAACUUUUUACAUUAGAAAAACAUAUAUUCUUGAAAAAAGAAUAGAUAUAUUCUAGCAUUCACAUUCUUCACUUUUAAUCGUGAAGAAGAUCUUUGCUCCUAACUUUGACAAAGUUUUGAUGAAGACACCAAUAUCACCAAAAGAAGAAAAGGAAGAUUACUUAUGAAGACCAAAAAUAUUAAAACUUCAAUUAAAAUUAGUCUAAGUCUAAAUAUGUACUUCUAUCAUAUACUCUUUAAUAUAUUAAAGUAGUAAUGCUCAAAAUAUUUUAAAAGAAAUUGAAACACUUCAAGUUUUAAAGGAAAACAUUUUCUAAAAUAAUGUGUAAUACGUUACUGAAAUUUGAGUAACAAGUUACAUGAGUGAGAAUCAGUUAUUUAACAAUAUUUAAAUUGGAGUAACCGAUUACUCAAAAUUGAGUAACCGAUUACUCUAAAAGAAUUUUAUAUUCAUUGUUGGACAGAGAGUUUGAGUAACCGAUUACUCAAUGUAAUUUUUCAAAAUGUCACAUUUGGGUAACCGAUUACCCACUUGUUGUAAUCGGUUAAUGAGAGUUGUUACAUCAGUUUUUCAGAUUUGAAACUCACGGGUUUUCAUCCCAAACGAAAUGUCUUCAUUCCAAACAAUUCAUACUCUUUCAUAAAGACACAAAGACUAAUUGGAAAGCCUAUUUAAAGGUCUUAGAACUCACAAUGAAAACAACUUUUUGAACAACUCUUUCAUAACUUUUUCACACUUUUCUCACAACUUUCCUACACUUUUAUGAAAUAGUUUUCUUAACUUCUAGCAACUUGAACUCAAAAUUUCAAAGCUAUUUUUCUGAGUUGCUUGAAGCAAAAUAUUUCAAAGUUUUGUAAACUUAAAAGAACAUUAUUUACUAAGUAUACAAAAGAGUUGAUUGGAUUGCGAGUGUUAUUAUAUUUCAUACUUGUAAAGACAAUCCAAGUCAUCAUUCAAAUUCCUCAUUCAUUGUAAUUACUUUCUUUCACGGAGUGUGAAUAGAAAGGGGAUAGAGUUACAUGGAAAUGUGUUUUCCAAGGUGAUAAGUAUUAGUGAGUGUGUAAGGUACAUAGAGAUCUCGAUGUGAGAUAUUGUAAUUACAACUCAUAAUAUUUAGUGGAAAAUCUCUUGUGAUGCAAGAGUAUUGAACGUAGCCUUCGGUGGACAAGAAGGUGAACCAGUAUAAAAUCCUUGUGUACUCUCUUCUCUCUUACCUCUUUGAUUUAUUCUUGUUUAUUUUCUGCAAUAUUAUCCGCUGCACUUUAACUCUUCAUUUUGCAGAAAAAGUUGUCAUAAUUUCUAGUGAACUAAUUCACCCCUCCUCUUAGUUGCAAUCUCAGUCUUACAAUUGACACCAGAGCUAUUUUUGAGUAAGAUAUUCUCAAACUUGAUCCUACAUCAAAGAUGGCCGCAGAAUCAUUCAUAGGAGAAGGUUCUAACAUAAACCGCCCUCCAAGUUUUGUUGGAGAAUGCUAUGGCUUAUGGAAAAUCAGAAUGAGGAUAUUCAUAGAAACCCAAGACUUGGAUAUAUGGAACACAAUUGAAAAAGAACCCUAUGAACCCUUCACAGUUAUAAACAGUUUAAGAGAAAUAAAGUCCAAAUUUUUAUGGAAUGAUGAAAACAAGAACAAGGUGCAAUAUGACAUAAAGGCAAAGAACAUACUCACUUCUGCUCUUGGAAUUGAUGAGUUCUUUAGAGUAUCUAACUGUAAAUCCGCCAAGGAAAUGUGGGAUACUCUAGAGANNNNNNNNNNNNNNNNNNNNNNNNNNNNNNNNNNNNNNNNNNNNNNNNNNNNNNNNNNNNNNNNNNNNNNNNNNNNNNNNNNNNNNNNNNNNNNNNNNNNAUUCACCCAUCUUACAAAUCACCUUCUUGCUCUUGUUAAGGUAUUAUCUAUCAGUGACUUGAACUUGAAAGUUCUAAGAUCACUUACCAAAACAUGGCAACCAAAGGUAACAGCCAUUUNUUUCUGAAAAGAAAAGUUUAUCAAAAAUGUCUUUGACUGCGUUAUUUGGAAAAUUGCAGGAACAUGAGUUAGAACUCAACCAACUGGAUCAACAUGAAGAACAGGAGAAGAAAAAUAAAAAUACUUCUCUAAAAGCAAAAGUUGACAAAUAUGAGUCAUCAAAGGAUGAAUCCGAUAAAGAAGAGAUAGAAGACAUCAGUAUUCUUGUGAAUAAAAUCAACAAAUUCCUCUAAAGGAAUAAAGGUGGUAGAACUAGACAAAUAAGAAAGUUCACCAAGAACAACGAUGCCUCUACUUNNNNNNNNNNNNNNNNNNNNNNNNNNNNNNNNNNNNNNNNNNNNNNNNNNNNNNNNNNNNNNNNNNNNNNNNNNNNNNNNNNNNNNNNNNNNNNNNNNNNCGAAUGUGGCAAGACUGGUCACAUGAAGAUGGAUUGUCCAAAUUUGAAAAAGAAUUCAUUCAAGGGAAAUAAUGAAAUAAAGACCGGAAGAAGAGCAUACAUAGCUUGGGAAGACAAUGAUACCAGUUCCGUCUCUGAACCAGAAAAUGAGGAAUAAGCACAUCUCUCCUUAAUGACAUCUCAUCAUUCUGAUGAUAUAGAGGUAAAUGACUCAAAACUAUAUUCUUAUGAAUUACAAAUUGCAUUCAAUGACCUGCAUGAUGAGUACAUCAAACUCACAAAAAUGUUUUUAAAACAUAAAACUGAGUUAGAUUCAUUUAGAAACAAACUUUCAUUAUCUUCAUGUCAAAAUUGUAUUACUCUUUAAAACAAAGUUACAACAUUAAAUCUUGAACUUAAUAAGAUAAGUAAGAGCAGUAAAAGUUUAAAUAGAAUCAUCAAUGAUCAACGACACUCAACAUAUCGAAGAGGUCUUGGCUAUUCAAAAGGCCAUGGUUCUAAGAAACCUAGUGUCCCAAUUAAGAUAAACUNNNNNNNNNNNNNNNNNNNNNNNNNNNNNNNNNNNNNNNNNNNNNNNNNNNNNNNNNNNNNNNNNNNNNNNNNNNNNNNNNNNNNNNNNNNNNNNNNNNNAAAUUAAUGAAAGCUCUCUAUGGCUUAAAGCAAGCUCCUUGCGCAUGGUAUGAUCGUCUACCUAAAUUUCUACUUGAAAAAUGUUUCAACAAAGGAAAGGUCGACAAUACUCUCUUCAUAAAGACAAUAAAUCAUCAUACUUUACUUGUUCAAAUUUAUGUAGAUGAUAUUACUUUCGAUUCUACUAAUGAGUUGUUAUGUAGUGAUUUUGGCAAUAUGAUCCAAGGAGAGUUUGAAAUGUCUAUGAUGAGGAAGUUAAAUUACUUCCUUGGAUUACAAAUCAAACAGUUUGACAAUGGUAUUUUUGUAAGUCAAUCCAAAUACUGCAAAGAUUUGCUAAAUUUUUUUGACAUGGAUGGAUGCAAGUAAAUAACUACUCCUAUGGAAUAUGGAACUUACAUCGAUACAGAUGAAGCAUGAAAAUCCAUCGAGAUAUCAAACUAUCGAGGUAUGAUUGGAUCUCUUUUAUACUUAACUAUCAGUAGACCUGAUAUCAUGUUUAGUGUGUAUAUGUGUGCUCGAUAUCAAUCCAAACCAAAAGAAUCACACUUAGUUGAUGUUAAGAUAAUCAUGAAAUAUCUUAAAGGCACAACUAAUGUUGGACUGUGGUAUCCAAAGGAAAGUAUAUGUGACUUGGUUGGAUAUUCAUAUUCAGAUUUUACAGGAUACAAAACUGAGAGGAAANNNNNNNNNNNNNNNNNNNNNNNNNNNNNNNNNNNNNNNNNNNNNNNNNNNNNNNNNNNNNNNNNNNNNNNNNNNNNNNNNNNNNNNNNNNNNNNNNNNNUAGUCCUAAGCACUGUUGAAGCUGAAUAUAUUGCAGCAGGUAGUUGUUGCACCCAAGUGUUGUGGCUUAAGCAACAAUUACGAGAUUAUGGUUUAGAUUUGGGUUGCACUCCUCUAAAGUGUAACAAUACUCGUGCAAUAAACCUCACAAGGAAUCCGGUUAUGCAUUGAAGAACCAAACACAUUGAUAUAAAACAUCAUUUCCUUAGGGACCAUGUCCAAAAGAAUGAUGCGUCUUUAGAAUUUGUUGAUACUCAUAACCAACUAGUAGAAUAAUUCACUAAACCUUUGGCAAAAGAACCUUUCUAUAAAAUUAGACNNNNNNNNNNNNNNNNNNNNNNNNNNNNNNNNNNNNNNNNNNNNNNNNNNNNNNNNNNNNNNNNNNNNNNNNNNNNNNNNNNNNNNNNNNNNNNNNNNNNUGAGGAUAGGAUGGGGAUGAGGAUGAGGACGAGGAUGACGACGAGAAUCAGGUUGAGGAUAGGAUGAGGACGAGGAUGAGGAUAGGAUGAGGUUGAGGAUGUGGAUUAGGAUGAGGAUGAGGAUGAUGAUGAGGAUAGGAUGAGGACGAGGAUGAGGAUAGGAUGAGGACGAGGAUGAGGAUAGGAUGAGGACGAGGAUGAGGAUAGGAUGAGGACGAGGAUGAGGAUAGGAUGAGGACGAGGAUGAGGAUAGGAUGAGGACGAGGAUGAGGAUAGGAUGAGGACGAGGAUGAGGAUAGGAUGAGGACGAGGAUGAGGAUAGGAUGAGGACGAGGAUGAGGAUAGGAUGAGGACGAGGAUGAGGAUAGGAUGAGGACGAGGAUGAGGAUAGGAUGAGGACGAGGAUGAGGAUAGGAUGAGGACGAGGAUGAGGAUAGGAUGAGGACGAGGAUGAGGAUAGGAUGAGGACGAGGAUGAGGAUAGGAUGAGGACGAGGAUGAGGAUAGGAUGAGGACGAGGAUGAGGAUAGGAUGAGGACGAGGAUGAGGAUAGGAUGAGGACGAGGAUGAGGAUAGGAUGAGGACGAGGAUGAGGAUAGGAUGAGGACGAGGAUGAGGAUAGGAUGAGGACGAGGAUGAGGAUAGGAUGAGGACGAGGAUGAGGAUAGGAUGAGGACGAGGAUGAGGAUAGGAUGAGGACGAGGAUGAGGAUAGGAUGAGGACGAGGAUGAGGAUAGGAUGAGGACGAGGAUGAGGAUAGGAUGAGGACGAGGAUGAGGAUAGGAUGAGGACGAGAAUGAGGACGAGGAUAGGAUGNNNNNNNNNNNNNNNNNNNNNNNNNNNNNNNNNNNNNNNNNNNNNNNNNNNNNNNNNNNNNNNNNNNNNNNNNNNNNNNNNNNNNNNNNNNNNNNNNNNNAUAUAUAUAUAUAUAUAUGAGUAUAAAAUCUAUGCAUUGUCCGUAUAAAGAUUUAUACACAUGCACUUCACCAUCCACUAUUCAUUUAGAUUACUCUUUUCAAUAACAAUUAAAAAUCAAUAGUAAAUGAUACAAUGACAGUGUAUAAAAUUCAUACACUAUCAGUGCAUACAUCUUUUUCUCUCUAUGUAUGAAGGGGAUUACUUGUCCCUAAUGGUAACAUGUUUCCUGUCUCAGACUAAUCACAUAUUGUCACAUGAAUAAAAGAAAUUGUUUAAAAUUAAAACAAUUUACCUGAGACAAAAAAAUGAAACAUCAUUUAAGACAAAUAAUAUUUUUCCUAUUAAAUAUAUGACAUUUCAUUCCUUACAAAUAGAUCCCAACAAAAUCGCUACACCUAUAUUUUAAAACUAGAGAAACAGUAUUACACUAAAGUUACCGCAAGAUCUAUUAUUAAUUAUUAUAAACUCUUAAAAUAAAAAUAAAAUAUAUGAAUCAUAAUAAUAUAUUAACAUUGUAAUAAUGCACUGACAAUAUAAAACUAUAUUGAUAAGUGAUAUUAUUUGUUAACUUAAUUCCUAUAAUUUAAUUGUAAAUCUGCCCAUGAACCUUUGGAGCAAAUAGAAAAUGUCAUGCAUAUAUUAUUUUUAAUAUUAUUUGCAAUGCAAAUAAUUAAAUAAAUUUGAAAUUAACUAAUAAUUAUGAUCAUAUAAUUAAUUUUGAAGCCUCUGUGUGCCCGAAAUGAAACAUUGUUAGUUUGAAUAAAUAAAAGCUAAGGUGGAUUAUGUAUAUACGUCACUGAGUUUAAAAGAAACACAUGAGUUUAUGUUUAUAUAUAUAUAUAUAUAUAUAUAUGAGUGUAUAAAGAUUUAUAUAUAAUUAGUAUUUUUUUUGAAGAGACAAUAAUUAUUAAAUUGAAAGAUAACUGAUAUACCAAAAUUGUAAACAACUUUUACACAACAUUUUUUUUACUCUUGUAUUAAUUGCUUCGUGUUUGUGAGCAAAAGGGACAUGCAUGUGCAAGUAUGUUGCCAAUUACUCACAAAGAGUCCAAUCUAUUCUUGACAUAGUAGUAUUUCCAAGUAUAAAGUCACAUCGCUUUCUUCUUCCUCCUUUUCUUAGUUUUAAAUUUUAUAUUUUGGGGUUACAAAGACAAAGACAGUACCUCACUCUCUUAAGAACUGGCACCAACCAACUUGUGCUAACUACCUUCGUUUUAAAUUAGCAAUAAUAGUAAAGUGAGGGUUAAUAUUCUCCCACAUUUCUUAAGUAAAUGGAGAAUAUCUUAAUCAUCCAAUGAUUUAUUGACAUAAUAUAAUAAUGGAUUAAAUUUUAGUUAAAAAUGAUGACAAUGAGAGAAAGAACAAGAAAUUAAGAGGAUCUCCACCAUCCAAUGAAUAUGGACUCCCAUGAUCUAUUUAUUAAGGUAAUUAAAAAUGUUAUUUUGCAUGAUUGAGAGGUUUUUGAUGGAGAUGUACUAACUUAUCUACGAGGGUUUGUUUUUCUUCUCUAUUCUUAAAAUGUUUAUAAAAUUGUCAAGGGAGUUGAUGAAAAGUAAAAGAUCAAUGGUUGUGGUAUGGUUUAAGUAUGAAUAAAUCAAUUUUUUGUGUUUAGAUAGUUAAUCAGAGCUUUCAUUUAUGGUUACAAAUAACUAGGCUUAUUGGGAGAGUUUUUGUUCAAUUAAUUUUGAGUUUUCCUAAUUUACCCUGUUUUUUUUAUCGAGAAUUGUUAGUACGUUAAUUGUUAUAUUACUCUAUAUUGCUUUUUUUACUAUUUUAUUUAAGAGAUAGUAAUGAUUAAUAUAUAAAUAGUGUAUGUUAUGGUGGUAGUGCAACAAUGCAUACAUUAUUUUCACUUUGCAAAUAAUAUAUGAGAAAAAAUAUAUGCACUGAUGGUCUAAUAGAUUUAUACAUUAUCACUGUAUCAUUUACGUUCAUAUUUAGUCAUUAUUAACUCUUUAGAAAAAGUAAUAUAAAUGAAUAUUAGAUAAUAUACUGAAUGUAUAUAAAUUUCUGUACUAACAAUGCUUAUAUAUAUUAUACUCACAAUAUAUUGUUCUACAAAGUUUCAAGCUGAGAAAGUGUUUAAUUAAAUGCUCCAGUCCAUGAUUGUUGUGCCAAUAAUUCCAACCUUUUAAUAUUAAUUCAUUAAUUCUCCACCUUGCAUGAGUUGCAUCUUCCACUACUAGUCCCUAUUCGUUUCAUGAACAUUUUCUUUGCUGAAUAUUCUUUGAACGAGUGAAAUAGGAUAAUAGUGACAGUGUAGAUAGGGCCCAAUUGUGUUCACACAACCCAAAUGGUCUAACUUUUACCACGUUUGCAGCCCUAGCCAAAGUGAUUUGGGUUGGGUGGAGUACUGGAGGUAUAUGAUUGAAGAACACUUGUAUAUGUGAAUUACUACAUUUUCUAAACUUUCUAGGUUUGUGAGGCAAAGUGUUCUGGGAGGCUUUUCUUUUCAACACUUUUAGGAUGUUUGGAAGAAUUGAUAGAGUUUAUUUGGGCUAACUUUAUUGUUUCUGUAAUAAUGUAAUAAUUUUUAUACAUUGACUGUAUAGUUUUUUAGGAAUUAGAGAUUGAUCUCACAAUUUUUGUUUAUUAUUUUUAAAAUAAGAUAUCAAAUUUCAAUAUAUAAAAUUGUACCAACAAAGCGUUGGUAAAAUGGUAUAAGACAUCAUUAGAUCCUUAAGGUCGUGAGUUCAAUUCUUGAGAGCGACAUUUGUUGGGAGGAGCAGCCACAAACCCUGAAAUAUAAAAAAAAAUUACUUACUAUCUCUGUGCACCACAUUCUUAUUUUAUGAAAACAAGUAACUAUUAUUUAAACAACUUUUUGAGUAAAUGCUUCAUCCAAGUUACUUUUUUAGCGGGACAAUCUUCAAAUACAUUUUUGUGUUUGCUAAGGCACCUAAUAAUUCAAUGAGACCUAAUAUUACUAAACUAAUUCUUUGUCAGUAAAUUUUCAAACACGGUUGAAUGAAUAACACUGCUAAUAUAAAGUAUUUUUUAUUAAUUAUUAACUUUAAUCUACAACAACCACCACUAAGCCUUAAUAUAGUAUACUUGUAAUUAAUUUCUAACUUUAACUAAUUACAAAAACUAAUAUUUGAAUUACAUGUACUUUGAAGGUGGUGAAUUAGGAACUCACAUUUGAGGGAUCAGCAUGCUUGAUGCAUCAGCAAUGUAAUUCUUAGUGAUACCACCUCCACUGAAAUCCACCAUCUCAACUAUAAAAACUUCCCCAGCUAUUACCUCUGCAACUAGGGGUUUAUCUUAACCAUACUGAGCCAUUCUUGUGCUCAAAAUCUCCAAACCUAUGUAUAUAUGUAGUAGCUGCGCUGAAUGUGCAUUCACUGAGAGGUUUUCCUUUUAAUGGUAUCCAACUCUAAUGUCUUUUCACUUUUGGAAUUCAUAUGGAGCCUUGGUUUGACAACUACUGAAAGCACCCUAAUUUGAUUGGAAAAUAAAUUAUUUAAAAGUUGUAUACUUAAUAUAAACAUCAUAUUAGUCUAGCGUAAGGUUUCACUGGAUCUCUAAAUAAACUAAAGUAUGAAAUUUAGAUGUAGAGAGUAAAGUAUUGAUAAUCUAAGAAUAUUCUUUAUUUUUUGUUAAAAAUGUAAUUAACAAUGAGAAAUGAACAAUAAUAGAUAAUUAUAUAAUAUUACUAUAAAUAUUUAGGUAUUUUGAUAUUUUAUCUCCAAAAAAUUCAAAUUGUGAAAACUUUAAAAAUAGACACAUGAAUGGUUUUAGAUGGUUUGAGAAACCUACAAAACCUUCUCAUCUCCUUCAUCCAACUUUCAAAUAACAAGAAGGCUUUCCAAAGUCAUCCCCUUCCUUAUCCUCCAAAACCACACCCCCAAACAAAGCCUAAGAGAUCAAUAAUUCGAUUCCUGAAAACUACACUUAGUAAUUUGUUAUUAUUCUAUGUUCAUUUAUUCUUAUAUUUAUACAUACAUUUAGAAAUUAUAUCUCAUAUAUAUCAACAAUGUACUCUAUUUGAGAGUUUGAGAAAUAAGAUUUGUAAUUUCUAUACGACAUCAGAGUGGUUUCAUCCUUCAUGAGCUAUUCAGUCAUUAUUAUGUUGUUAAGAUGCCGAACUCGAUUAGUCAUUUUCCUUUGUUGUGUCAACUUCUCUUAGUAUACAUUCAUUUUUUUCUUUUUCUUCAACCUAAUAAUUUCAUGUUUCACCCAAAAAGUCGUCCAAAUAAAAAAAUAGCAACAUCUUCCAAUAGAAAAUACAUUUUCUUCACUUUAUAUUUAUUGGUCUCUCCUCCCAAUGAUAAUCAUUUCGAUGAUAUUUUAUCUCCAAGUGAUAAAUCAUAUGAGCACUAACUUCUUUUCUCAUCGAAGGUUAUCCCGAAGGUGAUUAUAUCACUGAGUUCUCUUCCAUUGAUGAUCAUUUUGGUGAUGUUUUUUUCCAUUGACAAAUUACAUUAAUGGUAAUUUCUUUUUUCAUUAAUGAUUAUUCCGAUGUUGAUUAUAUUCAAUGGUUUUUCACUAACGAAUCCAUUUUUCAUCGGUAACGAUCAUUCCAUGGUGGUUAUACCAAAAUAUUUCGUAAUUACAACACAUUUCUGAUAAUUUUAUGAAACCAUGUAAUUAGCUUGACUAUUUUCAUUUUGAAAGGAAUUGUUUUUAACAAAUUUAAAACUUACUAAACUUUAGCUUAAGGGGACGUGUAAGAUAUAUUCGGACUGAUAUAGCAUAAUUUUAUUUAAGAUUAUGUCAAUUCCAUUUUAUCCGAAUAUAUCAUCCUGUCAUUUGUAACAACUUUUAUCUAUACUAGAGUAGUGAUUAGUAAAAAAAUACAUUUUUUAUAUUUUCAAUUAAAUUUAUCUUGUUUAAUCAAUUAUCACGCUUUAACACAUAGAGUAGCAUAAAAUGCUGGUAGUGGAUUUUUUCUCAUUGGAAUGAGCCUAUUAGCAAUCCAAAUUAUUUGAACAUAGUCCUCUUUCUUAAUCAAUCACAUUAUUUCAUAUUUGUUUUUUAAAAUUAUAAUUGAUUCAUGAAGAAUAUCAAUAGAUAAAUUGGAAUGUCGAAUAGUUGUACCCAUAAAGUUAAAUGUAAUUAUAAAUUUAUUUUUAUUAAAAUUGAAUGAAAUAUAAUACUUAAAAUUACUAUAUGAAUUAAUAGUGAUAUUAUUUGUUAACUUAAUUCCUAUAAUUUAAUUGUAAAUCUGCCCAUGAACCUUUGGAGCAAAUAGAAAAUGUCAUGCAUAUAUUAUUUUUAAUAUUAUUUGCAAUGCAAAUAAUUAAAUAAAUUUGAAAUUAACUAAUAAUUAUGAUCAUAUAAUUAAUUUUGAAGCCUCUGUGUGCCCGAAAUGAAACAUUGUUAGUUUGAAUAAAUAAAAGCUAAGGUGGAUUAUGUAUAUACGUCACUGAGUUUAAAAGAAACACAUGAGUUUAUGUUUAUAUAUAUAUAUAUAUAUAUAUAUGAGUGUAUAAAGAUUUAUAUAUAAUUAGUAUUUUUUUUGAAGAGACAAUAAUUAUUAAAUUGAAAGAUAACUGAUAUACCAAAAUUGUAAACAACUUUUACACAACAUUUUUUUUACUCUUGUAUUAAUUGCUUCGUGUUUGUGAGCAAAAGGGACAUGCAUGUGCAAGUAUGUUGCCAAUUACUCACAAAGAGUCCAAUCUAUUCUUGACAUAGUAGUAUUUCCAAGUAUAAAGUCACAUCGCUUUCUUCUUCCUCCUUUUCUUAGUUUUAAAUUUUAUAUUUUGGGGUUACAAAGACAAAGACAGUACCUCACUCUCUUAAGAACUGGCACCAACCAACUUGUGCUAACUACCUUCGUUUUAAAUUAGCAAUAAUAGUAAAGUGAGGGUUAAUAUUCUCCCACAUUUCUUAAGUAAAUGGAGAAUAUCUUAAUCAUCCAAUGAUUUAUUGACAUAAUAUAAUAAUGGAUUAAAUUUUAGUUAAAAAUGAUGACAAUGAGAGAAAGAACAAGAAAUUAAGAGGAUCUCCACCAUCCAAUGAAUAUGGACUCCCAUGAUCUAUUUAUUAAGGUAAUUAAAAAUGUUAUUUUGCAUGAUUGAGAGGUUUUUGAUGGAGAUGUACUAACUUAUCUACGAGGGUUUGUUUUUCUUCUCUAUUCUUAAAAUGUUUAUAAAAUUGUCAAGGGAGUUGAUGAAAAGUAAAAGAUCAAUGGUUGUGGUAUGGUUUAAGUAUGAAUAAAUCAAUUUUUUGUGUUUAGAUAGUUAAUCAGAGCUUUCAUUUAUGGUUACAAAUAACUAGGCUUAUUGGGAGAGUUUUUGUUCAAUUAAUUUUGAGUUUUCCUAAUUUACCCUGUUUUUUUUAUCGAGAAUUGUUAGUACGUUAAUUGUUAUUAUGUUAGUAUUUUGUUGUGGGUGAGACUCCACCCUCAACCUCCUACACCCUACCAUCAAAACAUCCUUAUAACUCCCAUUUUUUGUUGAUGGUGGGACACGAACCCACAACCUCCUACACUCCAUUUCUUACGACCGCCUUCUUCACCAUCAGACCACCUUAUGACUCCCUAAUUUACCCUGUUAAUCGAAAUUUAAUAUUAUUAGUGGAAUAAAGAUUUGUUUGUCGUUGUGAAUAUAAAAAAAUUGACAAAAAAAAAUGGUAGCUAUUCUUUAAAUGGCCAUUGAAGGUUUCUCCAUUUAAAAGAAAAAAGUAGUUGUAUAGAUUGUGUGAUUUUAUAAUGGGAGUGACUAUUUUAGUAUAUAUUUGGAUAUCCUUCCAUCAUUUAAACGAUGUACUAAUUCCUUUAGAAUAUUAUGUUUUCUAAGAGAAGUUGCUUAUAGGAUCAAAUAUACAUCAACAUUUAACCUUAUACUAUAUAUAUAUGAGUCUAGCGAGCUUGAUGAGAAUGGUUAGAAAUUAGUAAUUUAUUUUCCUAAGAAAAUUAAGGCAAAGGCAAAUAUGUACUACCUGCAAAACCUUUCUACAUGAGGUAUAAUAAUAUAAUAAUAUUUGAAAGAGACACGCGGCGUUUUAGGGGCAGAGCCAUGUGAGCAACACAUGGACUCGGCAUGUUAUAUAGUUGAACCCUCGUACAUUUAUAUGAUUAAUGAAUCAUGGUCCCAUAUUCAUGUCUAGUGCAUUGCCAUGUGAAUUUCGCAAAAUCCCUGUUCUAUGAAUAGAAACAUAAACUCUGUGACCAUACUUUUUUUAACACAGGUGUAUUUGAAUUUAUUGUUUCGCGCAGGAAUUAAUCACAACAUAAUGGCAUAUUUUAUCAUACAUAUUAUAAUACAAAACAAUGUAAACUAUUUCAAUAUACUACAAUAUUCUCAUCAAUAGCCGAACUGAGUCUUGUCAUCUUAUGGCUAAGUUGUAAUUGAUGAUUAAUGAAGAUAAUUUAAACUAUUUCAAUAUACUGGCAUAUUUCUAAUUAUGUCAGCUUUUUGCCAAUUAAAAUUAAGAAUGUGUCACAUAGGUCAAAGCUAAGUGCAUAAACAGAAUGGUCUACUACAGUGACACUUAGCUUCUUAAUGAAAACAAUAAAUGGACGUUUAAAUUAAAUUGGUUAACUCAAGUUAAUUUUUGAAGUUUUUAAUUCAUCAUUUUCCAAAGUAAAACUUAUUUUUAAGGAAAUUAGUUCUUUAUCCAAGUGAGAUGAAAAUAUUUAAAACAAGUAAAAAACUUUAAGCUACCUACUAUUUGUAUAAAGAGACAAGCACUGUGAAUAUUGAAGAAAAUUGAAACACUACAAGGCAAGAAUAUCAAGGAUGGUUAUCUCUUUGCAUAUUUCUAAAGGAUAACAUGUAAUAUUUUUGAGCCACAUUUGUUUGAGAGAAAAAUUAGAAUAAAUCUUAAAAGGAAUGAGUCAUUUAUCUAAAGGACAAGAUAUUAACAAGUAAAAAAUAAUACUUUAGUAUAACCACUUCUAUUUUAUAUUAUACUACUCUCUCUUAAAAUGGAAAUGAUUCAAAAUAAAAAAUGUAUUUUAUAAAGAGAUAAGCGAGAUAGAGACCAAAAAAAUUGAAACACUUCAAGGCAAAAUGAUAAUAUGAGUGAUGGUUUUGUCAUGCUAGGUGAGGGAAGCAUGUGCAUGUUUGAAACAAAAAUAGGAAUCUGUAUGAAAUCAUUGUUGGAUUAUAUAGCAAUAUCUCUCCCAUGUGCUUGAUGACGAUGUUACUCGUAAUCAAUCAGUAUCGCUACAACAUGAUGAUUGAUUGUUUAUAUUAAGCAUUAUGAAUGAAAGACAUUAAUUAAAAAACGGGAUAAUCUAGACUUUAGAGGCCACUUUAUGCUCAUAAAUUUCAGAUAGUUUCAUAUACUGUGUGGGAAGUGGGAACCAAAUUAAAUGAUGGAUUGUAAUGUAUAUUAUAUAUUGAGUAUAUCAAAUUGGUCAGAUGAUACUUUCUUUGGAUUCCUCAUUAUCAGUUCAGUAAUCAAUCAUAGGUUUAUCUUCUAAAUUCACAUAAUUAAAGAUUCUCAUACUCUAUGUUUAAGUUCUUCAUAGCAAGACAAAACUAAACUAAUUCUUUUAUAAUCUCUCUGUUUCCUUUAAUUUAAUUAGAAGACUUAUAUUGUAAAGAACUUAAACAAAAAAACCUUUCAUCUCUCAUCUUUUUACUUGUUUUUUAAUUAAAUAUUGCAGAAGCAAUGCACUGGUUUUUCCAUUGUCAAUGCAAAUGGUAAUAUGAAGUAAAAGAUGCAUAUGCUACAAGUGUUAAGUUUGCUAUUUAACUCAACAAAAUAUUACUUUGCAUAUUUGUUCUUUGUUUUGAGUUUGGUUUAAGAUGUGUUAAACAUUUUACUCAUUCAUGUUACUUACAUGAAUGCAUCUGAGAUCUUUUCUUCUUUAAAUUGUGUUACUUCAACGAAGAGGUCAAUGGAAAUGAUAGGGGAUAAUUAUGCAGAAGAUUAUUUUCAACAAUCCUCUACAAAGAUUCUAAAGACUUAUUAAUAAGGAAGGAGAAUAAUAGGUCAUUUUAGCUUUUUACAAGUGUUUUUGGUUUCAGUAUAUUUUCAGUUCUUUCGUUACAUUUUGUUAGAAAUUUAUAAUUUUUAAUUAAGGUGGACAUCAUAUAUUUAAUAUAAUGAUAUCAAUUAUUUAUUUUCGGGUUUACAUUAUAAGUGAUCUAAUUACUGUCACCCGUUAGAUUUCUAAAAGCUGGUAACGGAUAUGUGCUUAAUUGGUGGAUACCCAUUAGUUAACAACCCAUAGAGGAUAAUGAGAACCAUAUAAGUUAACGCACACAAAAAAGGUUAUGGUCCCCAAUACACUAAAUCAAAUUCAGUUUUCUCUUCUCUCAGAUUGAAAAUGCAAGUCCCAAGUGGUAUGAGAGCUGAGGUUCUGAAUUUUUUUGAUUUUCCAUUAAGGUGUUUUCCCCAAAUUUUGUUUGAACCCUAAUUCUAAUUUGGAAUUUUUUUUUGUUCACUUCCACUUUAAUGUUAUGAAAAUUGGGAAUAUCUGAAUUGAUCAUUAUAUGCAUUGUUGAAGAAAUAGAACAAUUCUUUAAUGUUAUGAAAAUUGGGAAUAUCUGAAUUGGGAAUAUCUAAAACCCAUUAUAUGUGCUCUAACCGAAUGUGCAUCAUGAUCAUGAAACGCUCUAUUCCAGAUGCUUUCGGGGACUUUAUAUCUGUGAGUGAAAGUGCAAGAAAGUUCAUCGAAGAAAUAGAACAAUUCUUUACAAGAAUGAAAAAGCGGAGACGAGUAGCCUUUUGGCUAAACUCAUCUCCAUGAAGUAUAAAGGCAAAAUGAACAUAAAUGUGUACAUUAUGGAGAUGUCUAAUCUCGCAUCAAAACUCAAGUCACUUAAGUUAGAGCUUGGUGAUGACCUACUCAUGCACUUGGUUUUGAUCUCUCUUCCUCCCUUAAUGAGCUUAUAUCUCACUGUGUACAAGAUGAAGAGAGGUUGUAAAGAGGCUGCAUAGAGAUAAGACUGAAAGUGCUCACUUGGCUAUGACCCCUCAAAAUAAGAAAAGGAAAAGCAAUAAGGAUGCUGCGAAAGGGUCUUCUCAGCAAAAGAAAUUGAAGAGUAAUGAUGAAUUUACCUGUUACUUCUGUAAGAAGGAAGAACACAUGAAAAAGUAUCCUAAAUAUGCCUCAUGGAGUGUAAAGAAUGUUAAAUUUUUAACUCUUGUCUGUUCUGAAAUUAAUUUGGUUUUCGUACCCAAUAAUACUUGGUGGAUAAAUUCUGGUGCUAAUACUCACAUUAGUAUCACUAUGCAGGGUUGCCUGUGGAGCCGACAACCAAGUGAUGAUGAGAGAUUCAUCUUUGUGGGCGAUGGCAAAAGGGGUGUAGUUGAUGCUAUUGGAACAUUUAGAUUAUGUUUAAGAACUGAUUUUCAUUUGGAUUUAUUUCAGACAUUUGUUGUACCGUCUUUUAGGCGGAAUUUAAUUAGUGUUCCUAGCUUGGACAAAUUUGGUUUUUCUUGUUCUUUUGGUAAUAAUAAAGUUAGUCUCUAUCAAAAUUCAAAUGUUGUUGGUUCUGGUUUUUUAAUUUAUAAUUUGUAUAUGCUUGAUGUUUCCAGUUUCACUAAUGAAAUACUGCAAACAAAUUCAUGUGGUACAAAACGAAAAUUAAAAUAGAAUUCUGCCACCUUAUGGCACAAUCGUUUAGGUCAUAUAUCUAAACAAAGAAUUCAAAGACUUGUGUCGGAUGAAAUCCUUGACCCUUUAGAUUUAUCAGACUUUGGGGUAUGUGUUGCGUGCAUAAAAGGAAAACAGACAAACAAAAGGAAGUUAGGUGCUGAAAGAGCUAAAGAUAUCUUAGAACUAAUACAUACGGAUAUAUGUGGUCUUUCCUUAUGACUUCCUGGAAUAGACAACAUUAUUUUAUUACGUUCAUAGACGAUUACUUUAGGUACGGCUACCUAUAUCUUAUACAUGAGAAGUCCCAAUCCUUGGAUGUUUGCAAGUCUUUUAAGACUGAAGUUGAACUUCAACUUGGAAAGAAAAUUAAGGCUGUCAAAUUUGACCGUGGUGGUGAAUACUAAAGCAGAUAAGAUGGAUCAGGAGAACAACGUCUAGGGUCAUUUGUGCUUUUCUUCAGAGAGUGUGGAAAGUCAGGCAAACCUAGCAUGAAUGGUGUUGUUGAGUGACGAAACCGAACUCUUGAGGAUAUGGUGAGAAGUAUGAUUAGUCAUUUUUCCUUACUAGAGUCUCUUUGGGGGAAGUUUUAAAGACCGCAGUUUACAUCUUUAAUAAAGUGUAAAGUAAAACAGUUAAGUAAACCCCAUAUGAGCUUUGGACUAAUAAAAGACCAAGUUUGAAACAGUUGCACAUUUGGGGUUGUUGAGCUAAGGCACGACCUUAUAGACUACAUGAAAGAAAACUGGACUCUAGAAUUGUUAGCUGUUAUUUUGUUGGCUAUGUUGAACGCUCUCGGUGCUACAAAUUUUAUGAUCCCACUUCAAGACUCUUUUUUGAGACGGGAAAUGCAAGAUUUCUUGAGGAAGUUGAUUUUGGGAAGAAAAAGAACAUAAAUAAUGUUGUCUUUGAGGAAGAAUCUGUCAGUGAUAGUGAACAAAUUCUUGUGUCUAUUACCAUUCAAUGAAUAAAUUCAGUAAUAGAAGAUAAUGUUCAGAAUAUUGUUCCUGACAAUAUUUCAGAACAAGACAACAAUGAUGUUCUCCCUCAAAUACCUAUAGAACAAAUUCAACAACCUCAAGAAGUAGAAGUGUCAUUAAGGAGAUCCACUAGAGAGAGGAGAAGUGCAAUUCCCGAUGAUUAUAUUGCAUUUCUUCAAGAACAUGAGGAAUGUCAUCAUACCACAAAACCUCUUUCAGAAACGUAGAUCAGUCGGGAACAUGGAUUCAGAUACGACACUGCACCAUUUGUUUUAUAUAUAUAUGUGACAAUCAUGAUAUUCAAGAUCCUAAGAUUGAUAUUUCACCAAUAAUAAGGAAUUCCCAACAUUUUCAAGAGUUAAAAGAUGCUGUUGUUUUCGUUUCUGUUCUGGAAAACAGUACUACAUUGUGAACUUUCCAUGGUAAUUGCUUUGAACUUGCCCUGUUAAUUCUACUAUUUAGCUUUGUAAUUGGUUUACAACUUCAUUGUUUUGGUUAUUUCAUACCAAUAACAAAAUCAUUAUAAAUUUCAAAUAUUUUCUUUAAAAAACAUUAUAUUAUUAUACUAUAUUCACCUAAGAACUUUAAAACUGACAUGUGCCACACGCCCAUGUAUAUAAUGUUAAAAUAAAAUGUACACUAAUUUUAUUAGUAAGAUGUGAUGAUAUAUUUUAUGAUAUCCAAAUUUUUGUGGGAUCCACUUACUCAAUAAAUAAGUUUUUUAAACUUAUUUUUUAUCCUAGUCAUCAAUUUUUGAGAAAUUUAAUAGUUUAGAUCUACUCACUAAUUCAAAAAAUUGAAUUUCUCCAAAAUUAAUGGUUAGAAUAUGAAAUAAAUUUAAAAAACAUACUCUCGAGAUAAGUGGAUCUCUCAUCUUCAAAAUUUGUGAAAAUAUAUUUACCUAGCAAAAUUUCUCACAAACCUUUAUGAGUCUCAACUUUAUAUUUGUAUUCAUUCGUAUUAGCUAUAUUUGGAUUAUAUUUAAGCGUUAAUGAUAAAUAAAUAUAAAUAUUGUAAUAAUAUUGUAAAAUUGCAUAAUUUCUUUUAAACAUUCCAUUAUUUUGAAAUUAAAAAGACAAAUCCUAUUAUGUUGGGUUGGGCUCCUCUUUUUCUUGGCUUUCACCCUUUAGUUCAAAAAAACAAAGAGAUAAAUAAUUAAAUACGACUACUGUAUUCUAGACGAAGCCAUAACUAAAAAGUAAAAGAGAAAAAUAUACAGAAAAAACAAAGAUGAAGAACAAUCUUGGUUGAUAGUAAGACUUGUCACACAAACAAACAAACAAACAGACAAUUGAAUUUGGUGCGUUGAGCUAAGACGGUUACAUGAACCGCGUAUUUUCGUGGCGCAUAAACAAACACUACCCAAUCCCAUCCCAAUCCUAUUCUAUUCUAUCCUCCCCCUUCAUACGAAUUCUGCAACAAACAACUUGUACUGAUCGGAAUAACAAUGAUAUAACUAUAACAGUAACAAUAACAAUGAUGACCCUCACUUAUUCCUUUCUACCUUCUAAACCUUCUCGUUCUCGUUUUUAUAACCGCCCAAGGCUCAGAUUAUUAACCGUUAGGGCUCAAUCGGAGAAUAACUUAUUCGAAACCCUCACUCAAUUCCAUUCCUUCAAUCUCAUCGCUCCCGUUCUCGCCUUCGCUUCCGGUUUCGCUCUUUCCCUCUCUCGCCGCCGCAACACCACCACCAACACCGACACCGACUCGGAGUUAAUUGAUCUCGGUGAGUGGAUCCUCUUCGCUAAUCCUUCGCCGUUUAACCGUUUCGUUCUUCUUCGGUGUCCUACCAUCUCCUUUCGCGACGAGGAUGCCAACGAGAGGCUCGUGAGGGAGGAGAAGCAUUACGUCACUGUUAACAAUGGAAGGAUUCGUCUGAAAUUGGAUGAUGAGAGUGAUCGAAAGUUGAGUUAUCAGAGAGUGUGUGUCAGUUGUGGUGAUGGUGGUGUGAUUUCGUUGGAUUGGCCUAGUAGCUUGGAUUUGGAACAAGAGCGUGGUUUGGAUUCUACUCUCUUGCUUGUUCCUGGUACUCCUCAAGGGAGCAUGGAUCCAACUGUCAUGUCCUUUGUGCUUGAAGCUCUCGGGAAGGGGUUCUUCCCUAUUGUUAUGAACCCUAGAGGAUGUGCUGCUUCACCUCUCACCACUCCCAGGUAUCUCACAAGAUAAAAUUAGAAAUAACUGCAUUAAGGAGAAAGUUGGAGUAGUUAAUAGUGUAGGUAAAAUUACGAAUUAGUUGGUUUGGACAUGCGUGGAGGAGGCUGUUAGAAGCCCCAAUAAGGAGAAUAGAUCGAAUGAAGAGGUUGUGAAAAGAUAAAGGAGAUGAAUAUAUUUCAAGACUUUUUAUUAUUGCAUACUUGAUUGAAUACAAUGAAAUAGCUUAUCCCUUUAAAUAAAGAGAUAGCAAAACAGAAUGAAGCAAUCAGUAACUAACAUAACUGAUAUAACAACCUAACAACUAAUUAGGCAUGUGAUAAAUUGGCAUAUUGUGCAUGUGACAAAUAAGCCAAUUUACUCAGCAUAGGAAAACAUAAGAAUAACUAAUUCUUAUUCUCUAAUAUACCCCCCUGAAACUGAGGGUAGUUGACUAAGGAUGCUGAGUCAACAAUUCUGAGUUGCUUCCUUAGGUUUAGAAACCUAUCAGAGGCCAAAGGCUUGGUGAGCAUAUCAACUGUCUGAAAUUCAGAAGGGAUGUGUUUCACUUGAAGAGACUUAGCCUGAAUUCUAUCUCUUACAAAAAAUAGGUCAAGUUCUAUGUGUUUAGUUCUAUUAUGAAGAACAGGAUUGUGAGACAUGCUCACUGUACUUAAAUUAUCACAUAGAAUGAGAGGAACUUGAUGAGGGAUCUUGAGUUCAGAAAACAAGGAUUCAACCCAAAUCAUUUCUUGAGCAGCAAGGGCAAGGCUCCUGUAUUCAGCUUCAGUGCUGGAUCUGGAGAUUGUUUGCUGCUUCUUAGACUACCAAGUAACUAGAUUAGGUCCAACAAAUAAACAAGCCUAUGAUAUGAACUUCCCGUCAUCAAGAUCAGUGACCCAAUCUGCAUCACAUAGAGCUGUUAGGGUGAUAGGAAGAGAGGAAUUAGAAACAACAGGUUUGAGAUGCAAGCCAAGAUGAAGAGUUUUCUUGUAGAUAUCUUAGAGUCCUUUUGACAGCAACCCAAUGUUGUUCCAGAGGAUUGCUCAUGAAUUGACACACCCUGUUUACACUAUAGGCUAAGUCAGGUCUUGUAAUUGUGGCAUAUCGAAGAGCUCCAACUAUUGACUUGUACAUAGUAGGGUUAUCAAAGGCUCUGGACUCUGUUUUAGUAAGCCUGCAAGUGGUUGCCAUAGGAGUGAUACUAGGCUUGGCAGAUUCCAUAGAGGCUUUAUUGAGUAGGUCUCUAAUAUAUUUGGUUUGAGUGAGAAACAGAGUACCAUCCUUGAUGUGUUUGACCUCAAUGCCCAAAAAGUAGUCCAAGUUGCCUAGUUUCUUGAGUGCAAAGUGUUGAGUUUGUCCACAAGGGCAGAGAUUUUUGAGGUUGAAGUCCCAGUGAUGAUUAUGUCAUCAACAUAGACUAAAACAAACAAUUGAUAGGUAUUGCUGAGAGAGAUGAAUAGAGAAUUACCACAUUUGCUAUUCUGAAAUCCUAACUAAAGGAGAGUGCUUUUGAAUUUCUAAAACCAUUGCAUAGGAGCUUGUUUGAGACUAUAUAAAGCCUUGUGUAACUUGCACAUAGUGGUCUUGUCACCAUUAUGAAAACCAAUAGGUUGAGUCAUAUAUACCUCCUCAUGAAGAGCACCAUUUAGGAAAGCCUUAUUGAUGUCCAGUUGUUGAAUGGACCAGCCAUAAGUGACAGCUAGGGUGAGGAGAAUUCUGAUAGUGAUAGGUUUGAUGACAGGGGAAAAUGUCUUAUUGUAAUCAAUUCCAAGAACUUGAUGAAAUCCCUUUGCAACAAGCCUGGCUUUAUACUUGGAAAUUGAACCAUCAGGAUUCUCUUUAAUCCUAAAUACCCAUUUGCAUCCAAUGGUCUUCUUAUGUGGAGGUAAGGCACCUAGGGACCAAGUUCCUAGCUUUUGCAGUGCAUCAUACUCUUCCUGCAUUGUUGCUUUCCAUACUGGACUGAGAAGGGCCUCUUUGGGAGUAGAAGGUUCAGUGUGAGCCAGAAAAAGGCUUGCAAGACUGGGUAGGAUAGACUUAUUGAUGCCAUCCUUGGAUCUGGUUGUCAUAGGAUGAGAAGGGAGAGGUGGAGGAAGUGAAGUAAAUGAGGAAGGAGUGGAUGCAGUGGUUGAGAGUAAGUCAGGGGAGGGUGAGGUAACAGGGUUAUGGCUAGAGUGUGUAAAGUCAGUAGUAGGGGCCAGGUUAGGAGAUAAGGGAGGAUUAGGUUGGGUAUAUGAGGUUACUGAUUGAUUGAGUAGGGUUUGUUGGUGCAAGGUUGAUAUGAGUAGGGUUUGUUACUGAUUGAGUAGGGUUUGUUGGUGCAAGGUUGAUAUGAGUAGGGUUUGUUACUGAUUGAGUAGGGUUUGUUGGUGCAAGGUUGAUAUGAGAGGUAUGGAUGUGGUUAGGUAAAUUUGUUAGAGAGGAGGAUAGAUGACCAGUGAUGAUGGGAGAGCCAAGUAUGGAACUGUUUUUUAAGGGAAAAACAGAUUCAUUGAAUUUAACAUCCUUGGAGAUGUAUAAUCUGCCAUCCUUGGAUAGGCAUUUGUAUCCUUUAUGCAUAGGUGAAUACCCUAAGAAGGUACAUUCAGUGGACUUAUAGUCAAGCUUGUGAGUGUUGUAUGGUCUGAGGAGAGGGAAACAAGCACAUCCAAAAACUCUUAGAGUUGUAUAGUCUGGAGCAUAUCCAAAUAGGUUGAAGUGAGGUGAUUUAUUGUUGAGGGUGGCAUAGGGUAGUCUGUUGAUAAGGUACACAGCUGUAGUGAAUGCAUAUUCCCAGAAUGAUUGAGGUAGGCCAGCAUGGGCUAGUAAAGUCAACCCUGUUUCAACUAUAUGUCUGUGUUUUCUUUCCACUGUGCCUUGUUGGUGAUGAGUGUGGGGGCAGGACAAUCUGUGGAUGAUGCCUAGAUUGGAGAGGUAGGUAGUGAAUGGCCUGAAUUCUCCCCCUCCAUCUGUUUGAACAACUUUGAUGUUUUUGUUAAACUGAGUGAGGAUCAGUUUGGUAAAUUGUGUGAAGAUGGUUAGGGUUUCAGAUUUCUGUUUAAGUAAAAAUAUCCAAGUGUGUUUGGUUUUGGCAUCUACAAUGGAGAGAUAAUAUUUAAAACCAGACUUAGAGACAACUGGUGAGGGGCCCCAUAAGUCUAGAUAAAGUAAAUCAAAGGCAUUAGAGUAAGAGGUGAUGGAGUUAGGAGAGUGAAGUCUAUGGGACUUGCCAUAACAGCAUGCAUUACAAAAAUCAGGAACUCUUUUAUUUGAAUGAGAGAUAUUAAAAACUGAAAGGACAGUGUUUACAACAGAGGUGUGAGCAUGUCCUAAACGACAAUGCCACAAAAAUUCAGUAGAAAAAUGCCUAGAAGUAGGACUAUCUAAUAAAAGAGACUUGAACUGUCCAGUUGGAGUAGGAAUUGAGGCACAGCAGGCUGACUUUUUGGGAAAUAGGCUCUGGAAGGCAUAGAACCCUCAGAGGUAAGGGAACAUUUGAGAAGAAUGGUGUUAGAAUCUUGUGAUUUGACAAAACAGUCAUUAGGAUGAAACUCAAAAUGACAGUUAUUAUCUUUAGCAAAUUGGGAGACACUGAUUAGGUUCUUAGUAAUAGUAGGCACAAGAAGAAGAUUAUGUAAAGAUAAAGACAAAUGAAGGUAUAAAGGAGAGGGGAAAGUGCUUGUGCCACUACAAGAAAUAGGUUUUUUUGUGCCAUUACCCAUGUAGAGGUGUUCAGAACCAAAUUGUUCUGCUGUUUGGUGAACCAAAUUAGGAUCUGAGGUGAUGUGGUUGGUGGCACCUGAAUCUGGGAACCACAAUGAGUGCUUGGUGUCUGAUUCACCAGUGCUGGCAUUCAUGGCAUAGGGUGGGUAGGUUGAUAUGUGAGGAUGUUGAGGCCCAGGGAAUGUAUAAGGAGGCACAGGAGGUCUAGGAUUAGGCAUAGGAGAUUGGUAGUAGGGGUAUAUGGUGCAGGGUUAGGGGAAUAAUUUUGGUCAGUGUAUUGAGUGGUAGGUCUGUAGGAGUUGUGGUCAGGUCUUGGUCCUCUGGAUAAGGGAUUCUGUGUGUUGGUGAAGUGAGAUGUAGGGUAAGGAUAGGGAUAGGCAGGGUAAGGAUUGGGGAUAUUGUACGGGGCAAAGUAGCACCAAGCUAUGUCAUGGCCAGGUCUGUUGCAGUGAGUACAAAAGAAGCUGCUACCAAACCCAUUUGAGGGUCUUGAUCCUCUACUAAAUCUUGUAUUUCUUCUGUUAGAACGACCCCCCCUGACCCAGUAGAGAAAGAAUUAGGGUUAGAGUCAAAUUUGUGGUUAGGAGGAGAUGUUGUAGGUGGAAAGUUGGGAUUGAAGUGUGCAGGGAUUGAUCCAGAUUCAGUGGAUUGAUGUGAGGUAGGGAUAGUGACAAUGUUGGCAGAAAGAGCAUCAGAGACUGCUUUAUGCUUGUUCUUGAUGAGUCUUGACUCAAAGGUCAAGAGAAAUUGCUCAAGGUCAUUGAUGGAAGGUAGUUAAUCUGGCUUUCAAUGGCAGUGAUGACAGUUUGAAAUUCCUCACCUAAUCCAUCAAGAACAUAGUCUAUGUGCUCAGCAAUUGAGAUAGGUGUUCUAAUAGAUGCUAGAGAGUCAAUGAUGCAUUUGAUUCUUGAGAAGUAUUCUGAGAUGUUGUUGUUGCCCUGAGAUAUGUUGCGUAAUUGAGCCCUAAGUUGUCUGCUUCUAGCCUUUGUGUGCGCAUUGCAGAAUGAGUGAAGUUCAUCCCACAAUUGAGAGGAUGAUGUGCAGCCAAUAACUCUGGUGUGAAGAGAGUCGGAGAUGGAGUUGAAGAUCCAAGCAAACACAGUCUGGUCUUGUUCUUCCCAAAUGAGAUAUGAGGGGUUAAUUUGAUGGUGGCUACAGUCAAAUUCAGAUAAGAACUUUGGUGGAAUUUCAGUAGGGUGAAUGAAUCUGAUGGCCCUGUUUGACUUGAGAACAAAGACCGUAAAUUGACUCCAAGUGAGAUAGUUUUUCUCACUGAGUUUGGUAGAGGGAAUAGGAAUAGAAAGGGAUGGAGAAACUGCUCGAAUUGGAGGAGCAGAAGAAUGGAAAGGUGGUGGAGAGGAAGGAUCAGUGACAGUGGCCAUAAGGGCUCUGAUACCAUGUGAAAAGAUAAAAAGAUGAAUAUAUUUCAAGACUUUAUUAUUGCAUACUUGAUUUUUACAAAGAGAUGGCUUAUCCCUUUAAAUAAAGAGAUAGCAAAAACAGAAAGAAGAAAUCAGUAACUAACAUAAGUUAGUUACUGAUAUAACAACCUAACAACUAAUUAGGCAUGGGUGGAGAUGAAGGAUCAGUGGCAGUGGCCAUAAGGGCGAUUGAUACCAUGUGAAAAGAUAAAGAAGAUGAAUAUAUUUCAAGACUUUUUAUUAUUGCAUACUUGAUUGAAUACAAUGAGAUAGCUUAUCCCUUUAAAUAAAGAGAUAGCAAAACAAAAUGAAGCAAUCAGUAACUAACAUAAGAAUAACUAAUUAGGCAUGUGAUAAAUUGGCAUAUUGUGCAUGUGACUUAUAAGCCAAUUUACUCAACAUAGGAAAACAUAAGAAUAAUUAAUUCUUAUUCUCUAAUAGAGGUUAAUCCAAUUCCGGGAGGAAGAGGGAGACCAAGAAAAACCAUAAGCAAACCAAUUAGAUAACAUUGCCUAUCAAGUUCACCUUUAAGGGAGUCUUGUGAUGAUAAUAAUAAUGUAAAAAAUGAUCAUUGAAUUGAUGUAUUUAAGGUAAGGGAAAAGGAAAAUAGAAUAGAGAAAAGGAAGAGUUAUGAAUUGCUUGAGGGAUUUGCUCUCUAUAUGCUGAUAUUCAUAAUUCAUAUGAAGGAAUGAAUACAAGUCUAAUUUACUAGAUGCAUUGAACAAUUUUCUAGGACCUAAUUCCUAUGUAGGUUAGAUACAUAUAAUAUGUGAUCAAUGUGAUUAUUCUAACAGUUAUGAACCAUAUAUUAAAAUGAAUUGCGUACUGUACUGUCGUCUUAGUAACUAUGGACAGGACGUGCGGAGUGCUAAACUUCCUCUUACUUUUCAACUUCCACUUUCAUCCAACCCCAGCCAACCAAAGGGUUGAUGUAAGGAGUAAGGACUUAUUUCUUACCAAGUUUGUUAUCUGUAGGUUAUUUACAGCUGCUGACAGCGAUGAUAUCUGCACAGCGGUAACAUAUAUCCGCAAGGCGAGACCCUGGACAACGUUGAUGGGUGUUGGAUGGGGAUACGGUGCUAACAUGCUCACAAAGUACCUGGCAGAGGUCGGGGAAACAACACCCCUCACAGCUGCCACAUGUAUAGACAACCCUUUUGAUUUAGAUGAGACUACAAGGUCUUCUCCUUAUCACAUUGUUACUGAUCAGAAACUCACUGAUGGACUUAAAGAUAUUCUACAAGCCAAUAAGGUAAAUUAAUUGCUUUUGAACUUCACCAUCCUUUUUUAUUUUCAUCUGGCCUGCAUUGUCAUGUCCCAUGCAAUCUGAUUUUAUCAACAUAUGUUGGCGGUUAUCAGUUAGCUAGAAUCUUAUUUAUUAUGUAGGCACUAUUCCAAGGCAAAACGAAAGGUUUUGAUGUGGAAAAGGCUCUGUUAGCUAAUUCAGUCCGUGAAUUUGAAGAAGCAAUAUCUAUGGUAUCUUAUGGCUUUGAGGAUAUAGAAGGUUUUUAUUCAAAAUCCAGCACAAGAAAUGUAAUCAAGGAUGUGAAAAUUCCUGUUCUUUUUAUACAGGUAAGUACGGUUUGUUUUGUGCCAUCAUCUUAAUUGCAUGCUGUGCAUUUAGGUAAUUACUAAUUUAUUAAGUGCUCUAUUGUUUUGAUGUAAUAGUUUUGGGAAAAAGUAAGAUAAUCCUGACUAUACACAAGAGAGCGAAGAACUGUGUGUAACUGUGUUUCAAUGCUUUAUCAUUGCUAUGAUAGGAAGACACUAUGGAAUAGAGAGGGGGGGUAACAGGGUUGUUACUAGGUUAGAAAUGUGUGGAUGCUGAAGACUGAUCAGUUAUUUGGCUUAUUAUAUUUGCUCCGACGAGACCUAAUUUAUCUGUCAUUCAGUCAUUUUUAUUCUGAUGACAUUUCAUAUGUUGUAUUGCUUGGCUGCUAGAUAAAAUGCUUGCCUAUAUCUAUAAAAAGGGAUACACCUUUGCCUAUAUCUUUACAAGAAUCUGCAUGAGGUAUGAAUAUAUGAUUGACAUAUAGGCUUUUGCAUUUGACCUGUUCUAGAAACGGUUAGCCUGCCUCCUUUCUCCUCUGUACUGACUUGAUAAUUUUGAAAGUAGAUAUAGUUAAUCAUAGUUAUCGUUUUUAAGGAAUAGAUAAUUGCGUUAUUCAACGUUUCUGAUUUCAGUUUUUAUACCAAGGAGGUGGAAAGUAUGUAAUAUGUUAAAUGUGGCGAACUAGAAAAAGAGAGAACAAUCACGGUUUGAUCUAAUAUAUAGAGGACUAUAAUGGGGAGAAUGGUCAAUUGACAAAACAGUAAGAUGCUCAAAUAACCCAGAAAACAUAUAUGAUGCGAAGUUGAAUAAGUUGGUCUAGAGCAUGUGACAUCAUGCAAGAAAGUAAUUCUAUAUGAUUUGUCCAUUAAUGUUUUAUAUACCACAGUCCUAUAAAAAUUGUCUCUGUGUAAGAACCAUGAGUGUCACAGCGUAAUCUCUUUUUUCUUAUGCACAAAAAUAAGCUUUGGAAAGGAAAAAUUACAACUUGCCCUUAACUUUUCUUGCAUACCACUUUAAGUGUAUUUGCUAUUUAGCUCCUCUAACUGCUUGCUCUUCAUAACUGCUAGCUGUUAUCUGUUGCUAUUUAGCUCUCUCUUUCCCUUUUUUCUCUUCACUGUAGAGCAGGAUUUAAGAUUGCUAAUGGAAAUAACAAAAAAUCUGUAAAUUACAGUUCUCCAUUGAUUUGAUUAAAGAAUGGUGUUUUUUUUUUGCAUGAUUUAGUAUUGGCUUUUUUGCCAAGUAUCCCUAUGCAUACAUGCAAAUGCACGAAAGUCUUACCAGUGGUCUAUUUUAUCAGAGUGAUAAUGUGAUGGUUCCAGUUUUCUCAGUUCCACGCAAUCUGAUUGCGGAAAAUCCAUUCACAAGCCUGCUCCUGUGUUCUUGUUUACCAGCUUCAGUUAUUGAAACUGACACUGACAUGUCUGCUAUAUCAUGGUGCCAGCUUUUAACAAUUGAGGUAAUAUCUCUUUAUCUAGUUAUGGAUGAUUAUGUUUUUUAUGUAGCAUUUCUCUAGUUGGAAACUCUUGUCCUAAAAAUGAUAAUAAAUAUCAUUGCUAGGGUAAAGGCGUAUUCAUUUGAUUGACAGGUUAUUCUAAGAACCAAUCUGACUGGCUGGUUAAAAUGUUAAGCCAUCAAACCAGCCAGUGAUUUGGUUAUUACCUGUGAACCAGAAAUGCACUGAGCUAGUGAAGUUAAAGAAACCACCCAGCUAACUAGAAACUGCUAACUAGAAACUGCUAAUUCUGAGCAGUUGCUUGUCACCUUACUGGUCCAGCCAUCGAUAAGGUGGCCACAUGGAAUGACACCGGUUAUUUCACGACAAUAAAUCUUUAAUAUUGGAGCAUUUGAACUCCUGCCUACAGGUUUUAUGGCAAGUGCCUCCAACAAUGAGGCAGACUUGCUUGAUGCUACAAGUAGCACAUUACAUUUUAUUUAUAAACUACUGUAGUGUAAAACAGGUAUAUUUUUUAUAUAUUAUUUUGUUUAAAAAAUUUAAUUACAUAUGUUGAAAAUUAUGACAGAGAACAAGGGUUUGGAAGAGAGGGGGUAAAAGGUAGAAGGAUGAAGCAUGACAUGUGAACUAAUCACAGUUGACACCUCAGUUUAUACUAAAUGCUGGAGGAAGUUUAUUAUAAUAAUGAUACAUAUCAUAGAGAUUUGACAGAGUUUUAAGUGGCUGUCGACUGGCUAACACAACAUUCACCUUUUAUCUGGGCUUAUGAUCGUCUAUGUAUAGCGUCAAAUACACAUGCUCAGGUUUAGGAAGUCUGUAAUUGAAAAUAAAAAAAAACUGAGAAAUAUUACAAGCAUAUUCUGCCAUUUAUCAGUCGUGAACACCUUGAUUUCAAGGUGAAAUUGUGCUCAUUUAAUUCAGAAGACCUUUCCUUUAACAGUUUCCUAUACUGUUAGCACAAUUAUUGGUAACAUAAAAAAUUACAAUUUUAUUAUUAGUUGCUCGUUUUACUAAAGUAAUUUAAACACAAAUUAGUGUAUUUUUAAGCAAUAAAUCUGGAAAAACCCUUACAGUUAUCAUUAUAUUAGAUUAUUCAAGUUUUUUUCGUAAUGACAAUAUGCUUCACUUCAUCUAGAUCUAGGGGUGCAUAGCUUCCAUGUUAAAUCCCUAUUCUCACAUGAUUUUUAUGUUCUCUUGAUCUGGAUGUUAAAAGAUGCCAGUUUCAAAAUGAAUUUUAUUUUUUCCAUUUGUAAAUAUUUUGAUGUUUUUAACUCCCUAGUGAUAUUCUGAUGCUUUAUAUAUGCAGUGGCUCACAGCAGUCGAGCUGGGACUCUUAAAAGGUCGUCAUCCUCUUCUGACAGAUAUAGAUGUUACCAUAAAUCCUUCUAACGGGUUAACUGUUGUCGAGGAAAUGAGGUCAGCUAAGAAUGCUAAAGUCAGCAAUUUGUUAGAUCUUACUCGGCCGGAUGCAUUUAAUGGAUACACCAUUGGUCCUACCAAUGAAUUCCUUGAAGAAAGGAAGAAUGAUGACAACUUUCAUUUUAGGUCAGACCAAGAUUUACAAAGGAACCUCCAGCGUGAAGAUAUGAACUUGCAAGUAAAACAUGGUCCUUCACAGCAGACUAGCUCCACCAAUGCAGAUUUAGUUGAAGAGAAUGUAGGCCCAGCAGAUAAUGAACAUGGUCAUGUUUUACAGACAGCAAAACUGGUAACAAAUAUGCUUGAUGUUACCAUGCCUGGUACUUUAACAGAAGAGCAGAAGAAAAAGGUAGAGCACAUAGUCUUCAUCUUUAGUUGUCAUUUGUGUGUGUAGGACUUGUCUCUUGUUAUGUCUUACCUUUGUUUAAUUAUUCUGACUCAAAGAACAAGGCAGGGGGGAGGGACUUAAAGCUUUACCUCAAUGAGAUGACUAAAUUGAUUUAGGUGUUUGAAUAUCCAUCCUCUGGUUGGAGAUUUUCUUUUAAUCAUAUCAAAGGUGUAUGUAAUUAGAUUUGCUUUGUACAUUUCAUGUUCUUUUUCAUAUACUUCUAUUGAAUAUUUGGGAAUUUGCCAGGAAACUUCAUUAGUGGUGUCAGUUUCUGAUGUAUUUUUUAUAUACAUUUUCAGUAAGGUAUUAACAUGGAGAGUUGGGUAGCUGUUGCUAUGUAAGAGAGGUUCUUUUUUUUGGAGGGGGUCAAAACCUAUACGAUAGAAGGAAAUUGCGUGAAGAAUAAUUUGGUUAGAUGCGGAGCUAUGUAUGAUAUGACCUUGGUAAAGAAGGAAACAUCAUUCCAAGUAUAUUAUUCCCAAUGAUGCUUUGAUGGAUAAUGGAGAUAGUUUAAAAUAAUUUUCGUACUAUCCCUAUGUUCUAGGAGAGUGUAGUAUAUGUUCUUUCGUCACCUUUUUAUAUGAUAAUAUUGCGUUGGAUGAAUGGACACAUUAGAAAAGAUAAGAUUAGGAAUGAGUAUAUUAGCGAGAAAGUUGAGGUAGUUCUGCUCGUAGAAAAAAUGGUAGAAUUGCACCUUAGGUGGUUUGAGCAUGUGUAGAGGAGACAGUUCGAAGCCCCAAUAAGGAGAAUAGACCAAAUGGAGGCUAUUUUAAUUCUAGAGGCAGAGGGAGACCAAGAAAAACCAUAGACAAAACAAUUAGGAAAGAUUUAGAGAUCGGUGUUUUGUCAAUGGACAUGAUUUAUGAUAGAGCAUUAUGGCGUUAUUCGAGCCUUGUUCUCGACCCUACCUAGUGGAACUAAGGUUGGAUGUUGUUAUUCUUAAAUAUUGCCGUGUUUUUCAGAACCCAGUGGAAUAAGUUCCUUUAAGUUGUUAGCUUCUGAAUUAUUUUUUCAAAUGUGUGUGAGAUGUUUGAUGUUGUUAAAACAAUGCUAAAAAGUUUACAUUCUUACAAUGAAUAGACUUUUAGUCGGAACUAGUUGUCUUUAUUUGUUAUGGUGACACUUGAUAUUCUGUAUUCUAAUUUAGUAUCUCCAAACAUUUAUGGCUUUAUUAAAUUCUACCUUAGUUUUGUAAUUUUCUAAUUGUAGUAACAUCUUUUACACAUUUCCAGGUAUUAACUGCUGUGGGUCAAGGAGAGACACUCAUGAAAGCUUUAGAAGAUGCUGUGCCAGAAGAUGUUCGUGGAAAGUUAACAGAUGCUGUCACUGGAAUUUUGCAUGCACAAAGAGCUGACUUGAAGUUUGGUCGGAUGCUUGGUAUAUCUCAGGGUCCGGAAGGAUUAACCGGGCAAAAGAACCAAGAAAAUUUCAGAGUAUCAGGUGUGAUCGGAGACCUGUCCUCUUUGAAUCAGAUGAAUAAGACUAGUAGUUCUGUAGAUGGUUCUAAUAAUGCUCCAAGUGAUAGGGUUGAGCCUGCUGAAGAAACAGAAACAGAUGUUCUUCCCUUGGACAAAUUGCCAAAUUCCACAAGUUUAGACCAAUCUCAAGAUUCAAACAAUGAAGUUGGUUCAUCUAAUUCUUUCUGGAGUGAAACUCGCAAUUCUGGUGACAAUAUUGACACAGAUGUGGAGCUAAAAGAAAAAGGCGUUCCUGAUAUUGAUCAUAUUGAGAAGGACGUGGAAACAGGUUCUAAGCCAUAUACUCCCAGAACCAGCCAUUCUAAUGGGGUAGGUGGCGAAGAAGCAGCUGUUGCUGAACAGAAGAACCAAAACAAUGAAAUAGGUCAAUCAGACACAAUGGAGGAAAAUAAUAUCCAGAAGGUUGAACAGAAAAGUCAGGCCUCCUCUAGUGGUCAAAGUAAAGUAACAUCAACUGAUGAAAAAGAGGAUACGUCUUCUUCUCCGAUGCCCUCUGAAAAUGAAAUAGCUCAAUCAGACACAAAGGAGGAAAAUAAUGUCCAGAAGGUUGAGAAGAAAAGUCAGGAUUUCUCUAGUGAUCAAAGUAAAACGACGACAAGUGAUGCAAAAGAAGAACUGUCAUCAUCUCCUAUGCCCUCUGAGCACCAUACAAUAGAAAGGGAAAGUAAUGAUAAUGAGAAGAAAGAUAGCAUAAAUACACAGCAAUCUAACUCUACUAGUUCUAAUUCCAGUGCUGCCACCUUUAAUGUUUCUCAAGCGUUUGAUGCCUUGACAGGGAUGGAUGAUUCCACCCAAGUAGCUGUAAAUAGUGUUUAUGGUGUGUUAGAAAAUAUGCUAUCUCAGCUUGAGGAGAGCUCAGUCAAUGAAGGUGAAGUCAAGGAUGGAAAAGAUGUUGUACAUAGCUCAGUCAAUGAAGGUCAAGUCAAGGAUGGAAAAGAUGUUGAACAUAGCUCAGUCAAUGAAGGUCAAGUCAAGGAUGGAAAAGAUGUUGAACAUAGCUCAGUCAAUGAAGGUCAAGUCAAGGAUGGAAAAGAUGUUGAACAUAGCUCAGUCAAUGAAGGUCAAGUCAAGGAUGGAAAAGAUGUUGAAAGUAAGUUUGAAGAACAACAAAAAAGUAAUAGCCAAAGCAUGGAUUCCAACCUAUCUGAUGAUCCUUGUGGAGAUGAUCAACAGAAUGGCAUUUACUUGAAGAAUGAUUGUUGUCAUACAGAGGAACAACUACCCCAUAGCCUCAACACAGUUAAUGGGAGCAGUUUGUUCAGUCCUCAAAAUAGUAACUCUAAAGACCACCUAGUUCAAAAGAAAAAUACGGCUAGCGAAGUGAUUGACAAGACAUAUCUUGUUCAUAAAUUGGAUGAAGACAGACACGCAAAUAGGAUUCCACCGUACAUAGCUUUGAGAUCAUAUAGGGACUCUCUUUACAAUGAAUACAUCCGUAAAAAUCUUUUUUCAAAGGUUUCUACGAAACCACUGGACCUACACACAACUACUACAUUAUUGCUUGACUAUUUCCCUGAAGAAGGUCAAUGGAAGCUUUUUGAACAACCACAAAACAUGAAAAUUGCUUCUAGCAGUACUGCAACUAGUGAUGAGGCAGGGUUCAAGAUGAAGACCCACUCAUCUAAAAAAUCUUCUGAUGUUAAGAAAUAUAUGGGACCACCAUAUGUAAUAUUAGAUACUGAAAAUCAACAGGAACAUGUUAAAGAGUCCAUUACAACAGACACUAUACACAAAAUGAUUGAUACUAGUGAUGACAGGUCUAAGGAAUUGAUCCAAUUUGUGAAAGUGGUAGUAUUAGGUUCUUUGAAGAUGGAAGUUGGUCGUAAGUUGAAUGCAACAGAAAUUAAAAUGAUGAAGCCAAAGCUAGCUGGAGAUCUGGAACAUGUGGCAAAUGCGAUAUCACUGGCUGUAGUACAUAGCAAUGUUCAACAACUAUGUACUGAAAGUCAAGUUUGUAAUGUUGAGGAUACUGUGGAAAAAGUUGGUACUCUUGAUGGAGAGUAUCUCAUUAGAGUAAUUACAUCCUCUGUCCAGGAAACACGCUACCUGACAAGAGUGAUGCCUGUUGGUGUUAUUGUAGGGUCCAUCUUAGCUGCAUUGAUGAAAUAUUUUAAUGUUGCUACGCUUGAAGAUAAUAGUCAUAGAGGAUCUGUGACCUCUGGUGAUGGGGGGAAAUCUAGCAAGAAGUAUUAUGGCAAUGUUGGUGUAAGAGAGAUAGAUCAAGUACCUAGAGAAAAAAGUAGUUUGGACCAUCCAAUCAAGAGGGAGGCUGCAGAAAGAGGACCUCUGACCCCUGAUGAUGGUGUAAAACCUGGCAAAAUGAAUUAUGGCCAUGUUGGUGUAACAGAUAUAGAUCAAGUACAUGAAGAGAGAACUAGUUUUGACCAUCCCAUCAAGACAGAGGAGGUAGAAAGUGAAUCAGAAUAUGGAAGCAGAAAUACUGCCAUGGUUGGGGCUGUUACAGCUGCUCUUGGGGCUUCUGCUUUAUUCAUGCAAAAGGUGUGUUGGUUCAAUCUAGAUGUUUCCUUUCAGUGUUCUUGUCAGGCUCGUCAUACAGCAUGCUGACAGGAAUCAAGUUUUAUUUUAGUAUUUAGUAUACUUACUGAGCAUAUCCAAGAACUGGUGUCACAAUGCAUAUUUUUUUGCGGAUUAUAUUUUCUUAGUUGGAAAAUUGAGUGAGAAAUGUAUUGGGGAGCUGGAAAUGUGGAGACAAGCUUUAGAAGCACAUGUCUUUUGUAUAAGUCGAAAUAAGACAGUAUAUGGAAUCUAAGUGUAUCAAGAGGUGGACAAAACCCUAUUGUAGAGACAAAGAUUAGAGACCAUACCAUAUAAGUUGCUAAAUUUAAAUAUCCUGGGUCAAUCGUACAAUACAAUGAGGAGGAAAUUGAGGGAGAUGUAGACCACAUGAUUCAAACGGGGUGGAUGAAAUGGCGGAGUGCAUCAUUUGUCAUAUGUAAUAGAAAAGUGUCACUCAAGCUUAAGGGGAAUAUAUCGCAUAACUGUAAGACCCGCAAUGUUAUGUGAGUAUGAAUGUUGGGAUGUAAAAUAUCAACAAGAGAAUAAAGUCAAUGUAACAGAGGUGAGAAUGUUGCGUUGGAUGUGUGGACACACUAGACAAGAUAGAAUUAUGAAUAAAUACAUUAGGUAGAAAGUUAGGGUUUCUCCUAAUAUAGAAAAGCUGGUAGAAUCGUACCUUAGGUGGUUUGGUGAUGUGUGGAGGAGACCGUUAGAAGACCCGUUAUGGAGAGUAAAUCAAAUGGAAUUUUGUCCAAUUUCUAAAACCAAAGGGGCCAAGAAAAAUCAUAGAUGAAACGAUUAUGAGAGAAUUUGAUAUCAAUGUUUUGUCAAUGAACAUGAUUUACGAUAUAGAUUAUGAUAUAGCAUUAUGACAUGUUCUAUCAAUGUAGCCGACCUCAUCUAGUGGGACUAAAAUUUGGUUGUUGUUGUCCGUGUCCAUUCAUAGUUUCUUCUUUCUUUUUUAAUGGGGAAUUAAAUUCUUCAAGAAAAUUGGCUUUAAAACCACCUUAGUGUCUAGUUCCUAUAUAUAUUUCUGUCAACCAUCUAUUGCUCUCUCUGUCUCUCAUAUAUUCAUGGUCAGUCCCUCAUUAUUUAGUGUUUCUCUUGUUACCUGUCUUUCAUGUACUGGUUUUACUUUUUUUAAGUUGUUCUAAUGUUUGAUCUUUUUGAUUCAAUUAUUAAAACUUGAAAAGAAAACUUGAUAUUUCGUCCCACAGAAGUUGUGUGUUUCACACAAAUGAGAAGAGAAAAGUGAGUGAUGAAACAGAGGGGAUAAAUACAAGCUUUCUGCUUUAUAAUUAAACUGCUGGUUGCAAGUAUACAGAGUUGCCUGUUUUACUAAAAUUGCUCUGUUCCAGGGUCCACAACAAGGAAAUGAAACUGAUGAAAUCUCAUCAUCUUUCGAAAUGAAAGAUCGCCAUCAAAAGAAGCCAGAAGAGAUUGAAGUGGAAGUCUCUGAGAAGAACCAGAAUAACAUAGUCACAAGCCUUGCUGAGAAAGCCAUGUCAGUUGCUGCUCCAGUUGUACCUACCAAAGAUGGCGAAGUCGAUCAAGAUAGGUCAGAACUUGCAUUUUACCAACAUGAAAUCACUUUAGUGACAUGAUUUAUGAUAGAACAUUAUGAUGUCGUUCAAUUCAUGUAGUUGGCCCCACCUAGUGGGAUAAAGGUUUGGUUGUUGGUUGAAAUCACUCCGGUGGUUUUCCUUUUUUCUAAUAGUUUUACACAAUUUCCCUGCAUGUUCAGACUGGUUGCGAUGCUGGCUAAUUUUGGACAGAGAGGUGGCUUAUUGAGGCUAGUUGGAAAGAUUGCUUUGCUAUGGGGUGGUAUACGUGGUGCAAUGAGUUUGACUGACAGGCUUAUCUCAUUCUUGCAUAUAGCUGAACGUCCCUUGUUUCAGAGGUAACUUGACCUGGUGAAUGUUCAUUACCAUUGUGUUUUCCUUUAGUCCUGCUAGUGCUGCCUUUGAAUUUUAGAAUUACCUGGUAGAUAUCUAUACAACAUAGCCUAACCUAUGGUUAGUUUUGGCUGAGCCAAUAAUUUUAAAUUUUGGAAUGUAAAAUUUGGAAAAUCUGUUGUCUUUUCUUUAAUCAGAAGACAGUUUUAUCUCUUUAGCAACGAGAACAACAACCAAGCCUUUAUCCUAUUAGGCAGAGACUCUAUUAAACUACUCAAAAAGUAAUUUACAACCUUGUUCCAUUUUCUUGUAACCUUUUCUGUUUUUAUACCCNNNNNNNNNNNNNNNNNNNNNNNNNNNNNNNNNNNNNNNNNNNNNNNNNNNNNNNNNNNNNNNNNNNNNNNNNNNNNNNNNNNNNNNNNNNNNNNNNNNNCCCCCCCCCCUGAAAAACAAAAGAGAAGAGAGAAACAGUGUGUAUUAUUCCUUUGUUUUAAAAGUGGAAAUGACUUUGCGAGUAACUUGAUACCCAGUUCCUAUGAUAGCACCGAAUACAGAUGUAGUGCUUAGACAAAUAUUAUUGAACGUUUAAGAAAUACAAUUAUUACCCAUAUUUUGGGGGCUAAUCAUAAUCAAACUCUUUCAACAAUUUCUUAUAUAAAUAAACUACAGAAUAUACAAUAGUAUGAUUGCUAGAAUAUGCGUAAUUUUAAGGAAUUAGAAAUGAGUAAAUGGAAAUAUAGCCUAUUGCUGGAAAGCUUGGAACCCUAUUAUGUUGGUCUAGAUCCUAACAUGGAGGUUUGAAGUUGUUAAUUUCUACUCUCUGAAGAUUCCUUUAGUAAACAUGCAAAUGCAAUGUUGCUUUUCCCAAUAUGUACCUGAGUGUGAAUGUAUAUCUUCCCUUCAUUUUACUAUCUGUGCAUAAUGCAUGAGUGAAUUUAUUUCUACAGGAGUACAUAACUCAAAUUUCCACAUCUCUUUCUCCUGUAGGAUUCUUGCAUUUGUUGGCAUGAUCCUUGUUCUAUGGUCUCCUGUUGUUAUUCCAUUGCUUCCAACAUUGGUUCAGAGCUGGACAACAAUGACUCCUUCCAUAAUUGCUGAGUUUGCUUGCAUUAUUGGCCUGUAUGCUGCUAUAAUGAUACUUGUUAUGUUAUGGGGAAAAAGAGUCCAUGGGUAUGAAAAUUCAUAUGAGCAGUAUGGUCUGGUUUUGACUUCGUCACGAAAGGUACGUGUUUCAGAUAAAAAACUAAUGGACAAGUCUGGGAUUAGUUUCAGUAGAAUGUAAUAGAGAAUAUGUGUGUUUUUCUAUGAAGUUUCUAUAUUAAAAAUUGAAAACAGUAUCAUGGAUAAUAUACCAAUAAAGAUGUAGGGAAUGGCAAUGAAGAAUGUGCUAAAAUUUCUUGCUUUGUUUUCUCUCUUUUUUUUGCUGCGUGGGGGAACGGGAAGUGGAGGAAACACUUGUUAAAUUUUAAACAGCUACAUCCUUAGGAUGUAAUAGCUGUUAUUGCUGCGAAAAUAGUUCUCAGGUAACCACUGAACCUUUUGCAUCUAGUGGUUAUUUGACAUGGUGCAGGACAAAAAAGGGGCCCAUUAAAUUAUAAGAAUAUCUUCAGUUUCAGUUACUGUUCAUGUGACUGUAAUAUGGUGGUGUUUAUGAUACUGUAGUGUUGAACCUUUAGCUGUGUUACUUUAUACAUGUAUUAUAGUUUAUUUUGUUAAGUUAUCUUAGACGACUAGGAUUAGACUUAUUCUAUGGGCUAGAAUUCAUUGUUAACUUGCAGGAAUACAAGACUUCUUGGCUAGAUCUGUUUUAAGCAUCAUUUCCGCUCUCUAUAUUUAGAGUACUACUGUUCUAUUCUGGGCCUUUUAUCCUAAAUUAAUAAUAAAGCCUAGUUCUCCAAGUGGAAUAAAAUUUGAAUCUUAUUGGCUCUUUUAGAAUAUAAAAUUUCAGUCUAAUGAAUAUGUACUUUUGGACAUGUCUCAAAUCCACUAGGAAUUUGCAUAGAAAGGUGUGCUAGAGUAUUGCAAAAUAAUCUUUUCCAGUUCCUUAGCAGCUUUAGUCUUUAGACCAGUUAGUUGUUUCACAAUAAUUAUUUUUGAAAAAAAGUCUUCAGUUUGCAGCUAUCUUUGAGAGACUGUUUGAAAGUCAUACAAGAAACUCAUCCAUCCAGCCAUAUACAAUUCCUAUUAUUUGUGUUUCAUAGGUUGACUAACAUCAAUUAGAUGAUCCCCUUUGGAACAUUUAUAGCAAUAGCAAUUCCUCAUCUGCUCUAAUUUAGAUGAAAUCUUUUAUUAACACAGUCAGAAAUUUUGGUAACCAUAUUUACAUUAUAUACUUUAAAUUGGAUAAGUAAAGGCAACAAUGGCAAGGAACAAAAUGUACAGACACUAUGUUAACAGCACCUUCCCUGCUAAAAUCCCAAUGGUAGCUUCCCCCACCCACUCAAUGUAUAUUAUCAUUGACCUUAAAAUUUCCUAAGUGAUUAUAAAUCUUGUCACAUGUUUGCCUGUCUGUGGUUUGAAUUAAUGCUUUGGGCUUCCUUUCUUGAUAUGCAUCAAUCUCAAUUUAGAACAUUCUUUUUAGUUUUUACUUCAAUUUUUGUUUGGGGGUAGAUGAGAGGAGCUUUAGGAGGUGAUGGAAUUAUUGGAUUUAAUAUUCACUGGUACUGCUUGAUCCGUGAAUGACUAAUUUUGGAACCUUGCUGCAGCUAUUAGAAUUUUUGAAAGGCUUGGUUGGUGGAGUCAUCCUUGUUUUCUCAAUCCAUGCUGUGAAUGCAUUUCUUGGUUGUAUAAGUUUCUCUUGGCCUCUUACUCAAACUUCUAUGGAUGCCAUGACUUUGCUCAAAGUUUAUGGACAAAUGGGUCUGAUAGUGAUUCAAGGAACUCUAAUGGCAAGUGCAAUUGCACUGGUGGAAGAAUUGUUUUUCAGGUCAUGGUUGCCACAAGAAAUUGCAGUUGAUCUUGGAUAUCAUCAUGGAAUUAUCAUAUCAGGGCUAGCAUUUGCUUUAUCACAGAGGUUUGUUUUCUUUCUGGAAUCUUCUCUUGUCCAUUAUUUUUUUUGCAUUACACUUUGGGUUUUGUAGGACAAGAAUCUGCUUUUUUUGCCACCUUCCACCAACAGCACUGAUCUUCUAGUUUAAGUCUAUUAUUUUUACUUAACUCUAAAUUUUAUCAAUAUUUCCAUUUUAGAUUUGUUUAGUUGUGUCUUUCUUACUCUUUUAUUUAUUUAUUUUUGUUUCGUCAUAAAAGUUAGAGAGAAAAGAGAAGAGUUUGGAAGAGUCGGAUAGAUUGAGAUUUAUUCGUUUGUAGGCCUCUGAACCGCUGAAUCCCAUUGUGUGAAUUACUCAAGUAUGUCUCAACUUAUACCUAAUGCUAGGGGAAUAUUAUAGGCAUAAUCUGUUUAUCAAUUAACUCUCAAUCAAGUUUAAACUAAUUCCCUAGGAUAGGCCCCCAAUUAACCACCCUUGGUUCCAGGGUCAACAUAUUUACCAGACAAGAUUAAAAAAUGCAAUAUAUCUUAACCUACUUGAGUCUUAUACUCCUUUUUCCAAAUCAAAAUCUAAUCUUCUCAUUUGUGAUGGGGUUGUUUUCAGGUCUCUGCUAGCAAUACCGGGACUUUGGCUUUUAUCUUUAUUUCUGUCAGGUGUCCGGCAGAGAAAUGGAGGUAGCCUCUCCAUGCCAAUCGGCUUACGCGCAGGGAUAAUGGCAUCUAGUUUUAUCUUGCAAAAGGGUAGAUUUUUAGUAUAUAAUAAUUACGAUGGCAACUUUACUCUCUGGAUAACGGGGAGUCAUCCAUUCCAACCAUUUAGUGGUUUAGUUGGUUUGCUAUUUUCUUUAUCACUGGCCAUACUUCUCUACCCCAGACAGACUUCAGAAAAAAAAGAAGCUUAGAUUUAAGUAGAAAAUUCAUCAGGGAAAAACACUACACUUGUAAAUUUGGUGAUGCCUUCCUGAUUAUUAGGCAGAAUUUGAAGCAAUUGGUGAGGCAUUUAGGUUCUACUUACACACAGUCCAGUUUUUAUUAUGCUGUUAAUUGGGGAGUGGAGAAUGAGAAAGACAGAUAUUGAAGGACAUAGAAAGAUAAAACUAUGAAAAGUUAAGGGCUUCAGCUCUCCAACUUAGAUACUAAAAUUUCAUCUGGAGCCUAAAGACAGGCACCAAUCGGGUGUGAGUAUGUACUAUGUACAAAUUCAAUUUUGCAAGUAGAAAAGCUAGAUGUUUGUACAAAGUUUUGUUUUGUUUUUGUACUCAUAAAGUUAUGCUACUUGUGUCACUAAUUAACAGAACAAGAUGUGAUGCAGUAGCCAGGAUAUAGGAAUAGAGCCAUAGGUCAGUAUACACUAUACAGUUGUGUCUAUUAGUGGGAAUAAAGUUUAAUUGUUGUCGUUUUCUAGAGCCACGUUUACAUUGUAAAUCUGUAAAAUACUAAACCGCACACUCUGAUAUUUUGUAAAGCAAUGAGAAUCCGUUACUUCAUAUUGUAUGUUCAUCUCUCCCGUCUGGUUAUAUACUGGUGGCAAUAUCUCCUGCAUCAGCUUGCCUGUAAGGACUCAAAGGUAUAAGUGGUCACCUGAAAAUUUGAUGAUUUAUUUUUUCUUCCAGUUUUUCAGAGGGUGAGAUUUCAAAAAAAAUUAUAUAUGCCAAUUUGGUUCUUGAAUUUGAAAAUCCUAAAGAGUCAAAUUAAUUAAUUUAGUAAUUUUAUUUUCUAUAUUAUAUUAAUUAUGUUAACGAUAUUUAAAUACUAGUUUCAAAUUAUUAUUAUUUUGAAAAUCAUGCAGAAAUUUAUAAAGACUAAAAUAUUUACUUCAAAAAACUUUAAUCAUGUUAGAUGACAUCAAAACUCGUCACUGCUAAAUUAUAUUUGAGCACCGGGCGUAAUUUUAGUGAGUAGAUACAAAUUUAAAUUUAGUCUAAGAUUUAAGAACUUAACAAGAUAUAUUUAAGUAACAAUAAUUAAAAUGAUAAUAACAAUUAAGAUGAAAAGUGAAAAGAAACUAUACAACAGAGAAAGAAGUCAUACAUAAAAUUGUGGGUUGUUUAAUAAUCCCUGAAGUGGUCAAGUGGAUGAGAGGUAUCAAGCUUUAUAUUAUAUAUUAUAUGAGUUUCACAUCAACAAACAAAAUCAAUGAAAAGAGAGAAAGAUCCUAUGAUCCGAUAUGAUUGCAAUGUUAUGUUGCAUAAAGAUAAAGUUAAGGACAGAGCUAAGAAAUGUCAAAUGAUUAAGGCAUCUGUUGGCUGCUGAAAGCAAAGCAAGCUCUGCCCACAACACCACUCCGAAUCAAAGCCUUUUUGUGAUUUUGACCUUGUCGUUUCCGGCUGAAAUUCUCACACUUCUCACUCAAUGUUUAUGCAAGAAUUUAUCCAUUUUUAGUGUCGUGAGACUGAUGAUACUGAUAAGUGCACCCUACAGGACCACACACAGGUAAGUGGAACACGACCACAGCUACAAAUUCAAUAGAAUAAAAUGUUUCUUUUUCGCUAUUAUCCCAUAAAAAUGAACAUUUUCUUCUUCAUGAAUUUAAAACGAAAAUGAUAAAAAAAAAUGGUUCAUUGUGCAGGAGAAUCUCACUUAAAACAUGUCAUUUUACCUUUUCUUACUGAUAUAAACCAAGCAGGGCAACCUAUGAUUAUUGGAGGCUAUGUUCUUGCAAAGAAUUUAUAGAUAGUUUGGUUUAUUUUAUUUACGUUGAUUCAAAUAAAUAAAUGAGAUUACAUUCUCAUAUUGUCUUAGGUUUAUUUUCAUUAGUAUUUUAAGUAUUUAAUUCAUGUAAUAUGGGUUGGGAAUUAUUUGUAACAUUGGCCCAUAUUCAUGACCAAGUAGUUUACUUAGGUUCAAGGGUAAGCCUUUCACAUGGCUAGGGCAAAUGGAAGUCAAUGCAUGAUCAUUUCAAGGAAGGAGGCACGAAAGGAACUCUAUCUAUAAGGACAAACAAGAAGACAAGGCAAUUCAGCUAACACUUUAUCUCUAAGGCAAACAAGGAGAUAAGGCAUGGAGGGAAAACGAAUUUAAAAGAAGAUAGGUUUGUUUUAGCAAUUUGAAUUUGAAUUUGAAUUUGAAAGAAGAUAGAUUGGAAUUUGAAAGAAGAUAGGUUUGAAUUUGAGAAAAGAUAGAUUUGUUGCUGCCAACAAAUAUAAUCUUUUCAAAUCAGCCACAACAACCUAAUCUACACAUUAUCUUCUCAAAUCUCCACAUAAUUUCGGCCAAACUCAAAUGCAAGGAACCAAGCCAACAACACCAACACCAAAUUCAAAUCAAGCUUCCUCAAAUCAAGGAAAUCAUCUCAUCUCAAUCUUCUUCCAAACCAUGGAAACUAUUCAACCCAAAUUACAUUAUUUAAGAUCUUAUUUACUUGAUUUAAUUAGGAGUUAGAUUAUUAUUUCAUAUUUAUUUUUAGCCUAAGUUUUAAUUAGGAUUUUAAUUAUUCAAGUUAAUUAGGACUUAGUCUAUUUUCUUUUCAGCCAAGGAACUUUGCCUAUUUAUGCAUUCAGAUUGGAUUAAUAAAAGUUAAGUUGAAUUUUAAGUAAAUUUGAAUUGUUUUAGUUGAGAGCACUUCUCCUAAACCUAGGUUGGUCGUGGACACCAUUGUUGUUCUUAUCAAGCUUCCAUGCUUGUGGCGCUUCCCCCUCCUAACCUUUUCUAUUUCCCUCACCAAAACAACCCCAAAUUCCCACAAUUCACUGAUAGAAGGUUUCUAUCAAUGAAGUUGAUUAAUUCUGGAAAUUUAAGAGAAGAAAAGAGUUUGAGCAAUGCUCUAGAUUUUUCAUAUAUUCAUCAAAGGAAAACUGUUCAAUUUAAAUACAAUAAGCAAACCCUAAUUAUGAUGUUAGCCUUACACUUGGCAACAUCUUGAUUGAAAGGUAAAUUCUUAAAACAGAAAUAUUAAAAUAGAAGGUUCUAGAUAAUAUAAUUUGUCAUCCAUUUAGGAGGAACUCUGGGCCUUUUAUCAUUAAGCCCAUUUGGCUUAUCAAUACUCUCCCCAUGAAUAACAACUUUGUCCUCAAGGUUGAGGCCCAAUUCGGUUGGUUCUGCUGGAAUUGGAAUGGGAUCCGUGAAGCCCAUUUGAUUAGAUAAGGGAGAGAUGUUGAAUUCCUUUGAGAUAGAUUCCUAUGGAUAGGGAAUCCGAGGUGGCACGCUCUAAGUGGAGGGAGCAGAUUUCCGUGUAGAGAUAAGGGAUGGGGUUUGUUGACCGGCUGACUUUUCUGCAGUGUGUAGAACGCGUGGCGCUGCAUCAUUGGGAAGCGCAGAACGCGUGGCGCAGUGUGCAGCAGGGAGCUGUUGCUUUCCUGUCACGCGUGGGACACGUGUCGCCUUGGCAGUGGAGCUUUUUUGAAUUACCGUGUGGUAAUUCGUUCCCUCAUUGUGCAGCGUGAACAAGGGGAACCGUGAAGGUCCCUUUAUUAUUCCCAUUAAUGAGCUGUUUGGACCCCCAAUGUAAUAAUUUCUUCUUCCAUAUUUGAAUUUGAAAUCCGAAAAUUAUUUUUUUCUUUUAUAGCUGAUGUGUCACCUUUCACGUGUUGCCUUAGCUUUAAAGUGGAACUCAGUAGUUCAUUUUGUGUUUUUGUCACUACAGACUGAGUUGUUGUUCUGUCUUCUCCCUUUUCUUUACUCUCUAAUUUUUUUUCUUCAUUGCUUCCUUCCUCUAAAUUUAACACAGGUUGAGACUGUGUCUUUAUGGAAGAGGUGCCCCAAAACGGUUUGAGCUUUGAAACAUGAAAAACCGGGUGCACUUGAGAGCCUUCUGAUAAUGUGAGUUCAUAUGCUACCAUUCCUAUACGUCGGAGAAUCUGGUAAGGACCAAAAAAA
This 77789-nucleotide long non-coding RNA is filed under the name Lupinus angustifolius (narrow-leaved blue lupine). RNAcentral describes it as "long non-coding RNA (LANG_LNC000025)". The record is from RNAcentral. Lineage: Eukaryota; Viridiplantae; Streptophyta; Magnoliopsida; Fabales; Fabaceae.